GACCGACAUUUGGUGCUAUGAUGAUAUCGGGACAGAAGGCCGGACAACUUGCUCUUAAGGCUUUGGGGCUGCCAAAUGCUAUUGAUGGAACUAACGUUGGAAACCUAAGCCCGGAGCUGGUCUUAGCCGCUGCUGAUUCAGCUGAAACCGUAGAUGCUUAAAAUCAAAAGGUUUUAACUUAAGAAAAAUUUCCCUUGAUCCUUCGGAUGUUGAAGGAGUGCAAUAAAGGAGUUUAGGUGUUUAAGUCUUGAACUUUUUCUGGUGUCUUUGUUUCUUUGUUUCCUCUUGUCAAUGAAAAUGUGUUUCUUCUGUGUAAAAUAUCUUAUCCGUUCAUUCGUAAUGCGUAUGUUCUCGUUCUUCUCCUUCUUUGUGGCUGUAGUACAAGCAGCUUUCUAGUUGUCCUUGGCAUGUUCAGUUUUGUAGCAAGUCAAAAUAUGUCUGAAUGUUAGGUUUCGAAUCUUUAGAUUAUAAUAGCUUCUCUUAUUGCAGGACAUAAGCUUCAUGUUCUGAGGACUAAAUUUAGAAUUAUGAGUUAUUUUCUUUUCUCUUCCUUUCUCUUGCAUCCUAAGUAAACCUGAGGAACAAUGAAGAUACAAAACAUUAUUCUGUUCCUAACGGACUGUUGUUGUUCCUUUUACUACCAACUAUCAUAAACUUGGUUUUGAUAUGAGAUGGAUUCCGGGAGGAGAUGGAUUCUAUAAGAGGUUUUUCUUCAAUGGUGAAUAAUGUGAGCUUCAUAAGAAGAUUAGUAUUGAAUGUCGGAUUCUUGUCCUCGAUUCUGAUUCUUAUUGUAACAUUUCUUUUGAUCAUCAGAUAGAUUUAGCAGUCUAGAAUCUGUAACAAAAAAAAGUCUAUAGUUUCUCUGCUUAUGAAUGAACAAAGAGUUUUAUGAUUUUAGAUUCAGAGAACAGAGGAAAACUGUAAAAUAGAAAGAAAACAAAUGUUUACAUUUCUUUUAUGAACUGUAAAAUAUAUACUGAUGUCUGACCUGGAAUUCAAAUACUCCAUCCUUAUUUACAUAUAUAAUCCGGCUUAGAAGUGCAACAAUGAGUUUAGAAAUGACAUCGGUGAUAAUCCUUUUUUGUGAACAUGGUUUUGUGAAACAAAGAUUACAAACAUGAAUUUGUUGUAUGAACAGUUUACAACGAGAAGUUGUUGUGUAAGUUGGGCUGCAUGGUUUCUUUUCUUCAUUACCACCACCCAAGGAAUCGUUAAAUCUCUGACCAUUCACUUUUUGUCGCCGGAUGUUGUGAGUUAUCAAAUAUGUAUAAUAACAUACAAAAACGCUGCUACUCAUGAAUCUUCUCCAAUGCUAUUUCUUGGCCUGAAAUACCAAAAAACAGAACAAUCAGAGACAAGAAGGAUCAUACAUAAACCCAUAAGAGUAUAAACUUGUGACAGAAUUUAAGAGAAAGGGUAAUUAAAAAACCAAACCUUUUUUAGAUACUUCUUGUGCAGUUUCAUUGCACCAGUACAGGCUUUCUUAGCAUCCAAGUUUCCGGUUAUGUCGUUUAAGAUCUGGGCAAAAUACACAGAUUAAAGAGGACUUCACUGGAUAUGGAAGGGCUUAAAGAAAAAUGAUCUCUCUGCAUUACCUUUACAACGUCAUCAAGUCCUCGAGCUUCGGUCAUUAACUUAGAACUCUUGUCUUUCAAAACACUAGCCACUAAGAAAACAGAAAUAGGCAAAGGACCUUCUGCACUUUUCCCUCCAUUCUUCAUGUUCUCUCUCUCGUACUUCCCACAUUGGUUUAUCGACUUCGGUUUACCUUUGGAAGAACCUUCGGUUCUCUCUCCCUCGAAUUGAGGCUCCUCAUAUAGAGAAUACAUUUCUGGGUCAUACUCUAAUGCCCACAUCAUCUGCUCAAUGCAAAAGAUCCCCGUAAUGGAUGUAUCACACUUUAUUAGUGUGCGGUUAAAGAACAAUGUUUCUGAGUUUAUGAGUUUAUAAAGAGACGAAGAAAAAGGUUACCUCCCAAAGGUACAAGGAGUCACAAAAAGAGAAUUCUCUUCGGAACUGAACCAUUAUCAUUCGAAUCGCAAAGAGAUAGUCACCUCCACCCAAGUUCUCUGCAUUUCAAGAUCCACAGUGGCUUUAAAGAUCUCUCUUGCUCAACCUGUAACGAUUAAUUAUACACUAAAAGUGAGAUGAGAAAGCUUUAGUAGAUACCUAAGUGAUGGUGAAGUUUGGGGUCAAUAAUCUGAGUGAUUGAAGCCAAAUGAGUAAGCUGUGCUUCGACUCCAACUGAUCUCCCCGUGUCCCGAAAAUUCCCUCGCUUUCAAUUUGAAAAAAAGAAGAAAUAGUUAAAUAUUAUCUGACUACAGAGAGAGUCAAGAAAAACUUAUAUGAACACAAAACAUAGAGGUAAGUCCGUAAGUACCAAUCGGCGCAUCAACCGUUCGAAACACCAAAAAGCAUCAGCUUCGUCUUCAAGAAGCAUAAUCAUAGGGGAACAAAGAUCACUCAUUCCUAGUCAGAAGAAACAGUAGAUAGAUCAAAACUUAAGAAUCAAUCAACUUUUCAGGGCUUGAACAAAGGAUAACCGUGUUCUUUCUUUAAAUUUCACUGCUUACCUUGGCAAUAACCAACGUCAUUGUCUAUCCACGCGUAAAGAGCUAGAAUAUCCCAGAGCUUAGACAAAUUCUCCUUUUUCUCAUAGAAUACCAAAGUCCUAUCUGUACGGUUUACAUCAAGACCUGAAAACAAGAGUUGACGCAAAUGAAUUGAAUGAUAUAUUGAAUUAUCUCUCUCAUAACUACUCUCUGUUGUGACCAAGUCCGCGCGAUCACUGACCUAUCUGAUGAAGUGUUAACAGCCAUUGAAUAACUUUCUUGUCCAAAGGUCCGCGGCUUGCAAGAUCUUUGAAGAAAUCCGAACCAUUUGCACCUGAGAUAAUAUUACAAUGCGUAAUUUACCAAGUUCUAGUGAAAGGUGAUUGUUCUACUGUUUUCUUGAGCAAAAGAUACAAAUUUUUACCUAAAUUUGUUUCUUGUAGUACAAUAGGAUCGUAAAUGGGUUCACCCUUGUUGGUAAUUACAGGUGCGGUAAUGAAUCCACCACUUCCGAUAACUGGAAACAUUUGUUUACAUUCCUCCUUCCAAGAAGCAUACUGCAAUCUGAAAGAAAAUAUCCAUACUUCAAAAAAAAAAAAAAAGAUAUAGUGCAAAGCGAAUGCAAGAUGAAUAAGAUCUUUCAUAAACUUAUAUAUGGGUGAAAAAGAACACCUUCUACGUUGUCGGAUUUGCUCUCUUUCUUCAAAUGUGCUCUUUGGAUCAUAACAACCAAGUAAGAAUUCCCAGACUUCUCCUCUAAUUGAUGGAUGGAUUCCCUAGACCAGUCAAGAAAGCAAACAACAGAACUGGAAUGAUAAGAAAACACAACUGAUACCGUGUACUCUUGAUUUCUUGAUUGAAAUGACAAAAAGGCAAGCAAGAGGAUUAAAAUGUAAGUGAUUUUUUUUGCAUGGCCAAAUUUAGUUAAUUUUGCAGUCUUUGGAAACAAUGUUUUUGAGACUUACCCCUCGUUGGAUUCGACUUAGAGUCUUGCCAAUAUCGAGGAACCCUUCUGUUGUAAAUGCAGCCUGCCAUUUUCUUACACUUAGAGUUUUACCAGGCUGCACAAACAAAAUUAAGCAAAACGGACAGGUAGUGUCAGCAAAUUGAGACUCUGUCGUUCUCUAAAACAUAAUCAUGUGAUGCUACUGAGCAUGAUCAGUGCUAGAAAGGUGAACCUAAACAAUCAGCAUCAGAAAAACAUUAACUCUAAGCAAGUCAUAGCACUAUUGAUGUAUCUGCAAUUCUCUAAACACAAUCAUGAGAAUAAUAAACCUAAAAGAGCACUAAAAUCAAUAAUCCCCAUUAUAUAUAAAUCAGCAUCAUAAGACAUAAACAUGUCAUAGCCUAAAUCAUAACUAGUAAAUGCUCUCAUCGGUAAAAGUUCCAAAUCGAAGAAGAAAAAAUCAGGCCAACAAUAAUAAAGCAAUGCUAAUAUUUUAGCUGAAAAAUUCAUUGCAAGGGAGAAAGAAGAAUCUAAGCAACAAGACAAAAGAAUCUGAAAGCUCCCAGGGAAUCGCAAACGCCAAUCUCAUUCAUUAAUAACGAAUCCAAUGGUGAACCAAAAUCCAAGAAAAAAAGAAGAAAUUAUUAGGGAAAGGGACAAACUUUGAUCUUGAAUUUGGUAUUGGGGACAUCAUUGCACUCAGGACGAAUCUGGUAAUAAGAAUCUGCUGGUUCUGCGAACGCUCCCCACAUUUUUUAGCUAAUUUUUUCAAUCCCCUCCCCAAAAACAAAUAAAAAUGAAAACUUUCCCGGGAAAAUCAAAUGAAAAAUCCAAACAAAAAAUGGGUUUUUUUUUUUCUACAAACAAGAUUGGAGAAGAAAGAAAGAAAAAAAACUGGAACCCUCUCAAAAGAUCAAUUCUUUCUUUGUCGAAUUUUUGGAGAAGAAAGAAAAGAAAAACAAAAAGAGAUCUUUAAGAGGGGUCCAGUUUUUGAGAUUAAAGAAAAGAUCAAAGACAGAACUUUUCUUUUUGGUUUGCAAUUAUUUUACUAAUCUAAUCUAAUUAAUCAUCAACCAUGUUUCGUUUUACAUUUUUUUAAAAUAAUUGAGUGGUCUCUGGAGAAGCAAUCAUUUUUGAUGGUGAUUAAGAGGUGUUGAUCGUUUGGUCAAGCUCAUCGAUCUUUCUUUAUUUAUCUUUCUCUCCUCCGUUUUUAGUAAACGAGACAAGGUUGCGUUUGUUGACAUAGUUUUUAGUUUAGUCAAUCGGUUUAUGAUUUGAUUUUGGUUUGAAGUUUUGGGUUUAGGGCAAACCGGGGUCAAGUUUAGGGCAAACCGGGGUCAAACCCUCUAUAUAAGAAAGAGUCUUAUGUAGAGGGUUUGAACCCCCGGUUUACUAGCUAAACCCUAAUUACUAGUUAACAUAACCGGAAUUCUAUACUUCAAUAGUUUGGUUUCCAUCCGAUUUGAAGCAAUUGUGUUGGAUGAUUUAGUUUUUGUUAGAACUAAAACCGGUGACAAAAUUAGCUUCUGUUUAAGUAUUUUUGAUUUGGUUCGGUCUUUAUUUGUUUUUUAUUCUCCAAAACCCUAGAAAACUAGGUUUGAUAAACAUUGGAAGAAACUAAUUAGGUCACAUAAACCACAUAGUAGAUUUUUCGCCGAGUGAAGUUGUGUCUUGUUUUGACGUAUUCAACAACUCCGACAUUAGUCGUUAGAGAGGUUUAAGUCACUCAUCGUUUCAGCCAAACGACAAAAGUAGACUAAGCCACCACAAGACUUAAAAAAACAACUAAUUUUAUUUAGGAACAAAAUAAUGUAAUUGUAUGCAAGCGAUGUCGUUGAUAAAGAAAAAAAAAGUAUGUAAGCGAUGUAAACUAUAUUAUGAAAAAAAUAACAGAAAAAAAAAUAAAAGAAAACUAAACAAUGAAACAACUAGAUAGGCAUUGUCGAAUCGUCCUAUACAAUCACCAAUUACGCCUGAUCCUCUCUUGUUGCCCAAUAUGCGUAAAAUACAUAGAUGGCGAAACAUAUAAAGCCACCAAAAACGCCAAAAAAACCUAUAAACGCCAUUAGUCCCAAGCCUUCCAUUCUCCCUUCUCCUUUUUGUGUGUAUACUGUAUUGAAAGCCGAAAGAAAAAUAUAAUCAAUCAAAAAGAAGAGGUUUUAUAUUAAUAAUUAGCUUCGAACUAUAAGGAAAAGUUCGAUACUAGUGCUGACCAAAAAAAUGGAAACUUAGAUACGACUAGUGAAUAAUAUAUCUUACUAUUACCUCUUGUAUCUAAAGAAAUGGCAAAUUAUAUAGCGAGUAAGAAGAUUGACCUUUUAGGGAAAAAAAAAGAGAUUUACCUUUAUAAAUAAAUGGAAACUAUAUAAAAGUUCUUAAACACGCACGUACAUUCAAUAUAUAUGCAUAUCUUAAACAUGACAUGUUAGGGUUAAAUGUUUCCAAUUGGGAAUCUUGUAUUAAAUAUACAAAAUUCGGAAAAGUUUAUAGUAGAAAGGCAUGUCAUAUACCCAAAGAUUUAGUGAGUCAUAAUUCCAAAGGUUAUUUAUGUGUCGCAGGCUAAGAAAAUAGAAAGCCGGUAAUAGUUAGCAAUCCAAAGAUGAAAGAUACAUGAAACAUAAGGAAAACUUUUGAAUUGGAAUAUCAUAACUAAUGAUUUUGAGUCUAACAAAUGUUAACGUUACAUACACAAGAAUUUAAUAUCAUAAGAGAAAAAAAAAAAAAUUGUCACUAACAAUUCUCUUUAGAAAAUAUUCUGACCUAUGUAGAGUCUAAAUAGUAAUCGGAAAAUCUGACUGAAUCUCUCUGAAUUGUUAAAUCGAGUUAAAAUUUUUAGUGAUUUUAAGCUGAAUUUAGUUGAAUUUAUACAUUUGUAAAUGGUGACGGUUGAAUCUAGCUAGCUCAUUUUUUUUUGUGAUUUUUGACAAAAUUUUAAAAAAUAAUGAAAACUUUAACUAAAAAAAUAUCAUUCAAUAAUUAUGAAUAUUAAUAGAAUAACUAAAAAUUAUGUACACAAAAUAGAUAAAAUUAUAUAAUGGUCUAGUUAACUUUUAUAUCAAUAAAUAAAUACUAAAAUUAAUACUAUAUAUAAAUAAGAUAUUGGUUAGCAAAAUUGAGUUAGUCUUCCAUAUUAAAAAUUUGAGCUAUUAAAAUUAUGUAAAUAAUUAAUAAAAACCUUUGUCAAAGCAUUAUUGAAAAAUUAAUUUCAAAAAUUAACAUGAUAAUAAAAUAUAGAUUAUCUAAUUGAUUUUUUUUUUCUAUUGUUCUCUAGUUGUUUUAAUCAAUACUAUGAUGAGGAUGAGUGUUUGAGUAAGAAAAUUAAGAAAAUUUUGAUAUUUUAAAUAAUAGUUUUAGCAUAGUUAUGAGUUGUUUUGCAAAAUUUUAAAAAUUCAUUUUAAAUUAUCUAAAAGUUAUUAAUAUUAUCCAAAAUUAUUUAUAAUUAUCCAAAAAUGAAUUCGAAUCUUGUUUAUUUUGGUAGUGAUUUUAUGUAUCUGAAUUAUUCAUAUAUUGUAUCCAUAAAUCUGACUCAUUUUAAAAUUAAAAUUUGAUUUGUAAUUUCAAAAAGAUUUUAUUUUAAGUUGUGUACUCGUUAUUAUCCGAAUUUUUAUCAAAAAUGAACAUAUCUACGUAUUAUUAGUUAGUGUUGAAAAAAUCUUUUAAAUCUGACUGAAUUUAGUUUUAUGCAAAUAGUAACUGUAAAAUUGUUGAAUUUAGUUGAAUAUGACUGAAUGUUUUUUGUUUUUUAUGUGUUACUAUUUAAACCCGUAGUUUAUUUGUACCUCUUACCUAGCUAGCUUUCUCACGUUGUGGCUUUUAAUCUGGUCUGGAGAAAAAAAAAUAUAACUAUGCACGGUCACCUUGUGACCUACGGCGGUUAGGUGAGUACCACAUUUGUCAACAAUGUGGUAAACAGAAAACUGAUCUAUGGUGCAUAGCCAGCGAAACAAAAUCAUAAAAACAUUUUUGAGACUUUUCUAAAUGAUUGUGUGAAGGAUUAUAUGACUCAUUUUCGAAAAUAUAUAUAUACAUAUAUUCCAAUAAAAAUAUGAAUGUCCAUAAAACUCACAUGCCAUAUGUAAUUUGUUACAUAAGCAUAUCUCAACAAUUAAGUGAAUAACAUAUAUUACAUAUGACUGAAAAAAAUCUACCAAAUAUUAAUAUUCUAGAAGGAAAAAAAUUAUUGGAAACCAAAAGAAUGAAUAAGGAUUGUUAUUUAUAAUCAACCAAGAAAAUUGGUGACCAUAGACAAAGGAACUAAACAAAGCCCCUUUUUCUUCAAGUCUAUUGAUAAUCCACCUUGGUUUUGCACUGCACUCUCUCUUUUCUCCUAUGCAAAACAUUAUCGUAGGGUAAAUUUUUGUUAGAAAUAUCAUAUCGAUCGCAUAUAUUUCGUAUAACAUAUGAUUGAUCAAUUCUAACGUUAACUAUACAAAGUUAAAUAUUAUAGCUAGUUAAUGUGUUUCUUACAUUAUUUGUGUCAUCAGCCACAAUACCACCCCCGUGUCUAGUGUUGUUGUCCUGUAGGUUCAUCAUGCUAUAGACCUAUAAAACGAAAAAAAAAUCCCAAAUUGUUAAUUAGAUAAUAACUGUUUAAAUAUUUAUGGACUAAAUUAAUAUAAUGUACAAUUGACUUGUUAAAGCUGAUUAUUAUAUACAUUGAUGUCAAAUAGUAGGAACUUAAGACAUGGCACAGAUUGGUGCAUAAGUUUUUGGAUUAAUUUUUAUAAGUAUAUUUCAAUUAUGAGUCAAAACCCAAAAUUUUAAUGAUUGCUUGCCUCUCUUGGCAAAAAGAAAAAUAAAUUAUUCCCUAUCAUUGACGUCUAACCUUAUCAUCAAUCCAAUAUUGUCCUAAAAAAUAUAAUCAGCAUAGGACUAAUAUAGAUAUCCCAUUUAUAUAUUUGUAUCAUGGCAUAUUUACUCAUAUACAAUAUAUAUAGUUGGUCGUCGACUGUUUGUGCAAAACGAAAAAAAAGAAGUAAUUAAUCACGUUCUUAGAAAAAUAUAGAAGGAACCUAAAAUGGAUAAUGCCUGAAAAAAUCAUAUUCACCGCAUAUGACAUACCUAUAGUCUACUUAAAAUUUUCAUGAAGUAGUCUUAUAGUGUUUUCAUGAUUUGUAUAGUAAAAAAUCGAUCUUUUGUGUUUAUCACUUCGGCGAUAACCACUAAACCAACAUCAUUUGGUAAUUAAAAUCAUUAUAACAAUACAUACAACAAUAUAUAUUCAUUUAGAGAGAGAGAGAGAGAGACUGACGUUAGGGCUAUGAGAAGGAGAAGAGGCAGUGUCUUCAAGAUCAUGACGACGACCAAAAGGAAUCUCUCUAUUUCUCGUCCUCUUGAUGUCCAAAUUAGAUCCUUCUUGCUUCGACACGUGGAGGGUCUUCUUAGUGGCCACGAACGACGCUGCAUCGGAGACGGAGGAAGAGCUGCAAUCUCCGACGUCAACUAUGCUUGAAGAAGCCUCGAAGAAAUCCUCAAAGUACAUCGUCCAGCUACUUUCUUCUGGAUUUUGGUCGCCUGUAAACGUCGCCGUUUCAUGUUUUCCCAUAAUGAAGGCAUUGUUCAUUGAACUCUCCAUGAAAAAUUUGGAAGAGAAAAAGAAAAAUGGUUGGUUUGUAAUUUGGUAGCAACAGAUGAAAGGAAACAUGCGUGAGGGAUUAUUAUAUACAUAGUGAAGUAAAUAGUGAAUUAAUCAAAUUAGUAUUUAAAAUUGUUUUUUAACGAAUUAAUAUUAUUUUGCUGUCAAUGAUGGGGAAUGUAAUGUUGGUUUGGAAUCUUGGUUUGUGGGGUCGCUCUAUCUGUUGUUUCUCUAUUUGGUUGGAAUAAAAGUUGGUUUGAAAUGUUCAAACCAGUUUAAUACUGUUAUCCUGCAAAUUAAAACAUAAAUGAAUUUUUAUAUUAAAAAAAAAAAAUCGAGCUUGAUUUAUGAAAGUUUUAUGAAUAGUAUAAAUUGUCAUUGUUGAAUUAUCUAAAAUGUUAACAUCAAUAAACUAUAAUAUUUUUUAGUGAACGUUCUUAAAUAUAUUUUCAACAUAUUAAGAUAUAAAAAAAUGAUAUGUAGAAUUAUAUGACUGAAUCAUUGUACAGUAUUGUUGGGGUCGGAUUCCAUCCUUUAGCGCCAAGCCAGACUUAGAAUACUUCGGGAGUCUUUCGGCGAUCGCCUCGGGGUAUCGCAUCAUUCACCUCGGGAUAUCCCGAACAAGACAUCGAAAGCACCCGAGCCCAAUUGCCUCGGGGGUACCCGAGCCCAUCGCCUCGGGAGUUUCUGAGCCCAUCGCCUCGGGGACACCCGAAGAAGCCAUCCUAGAGUGCCCGAGCCGUUUCUUCCUGUGUACCCGAGCCAGUUGCACAAGUUCCCCGAGGCGAAGUCUUCAUCGUCGCCCGAAGCAAAGUCUUAGUAAAUAUUCUUCUUUAAAGGUAUCAUUUCCAAGCAUAUUAUCAUUUCCGAAAAAGAAGGAUCAUUUCCGAUAAACUCGGAAAUGAUAAGGAAGAAUCUCGAAGGAUCAACUCAAAUCAGGAAAUCUUCCAAAAGACUCCGAAGAAUAAGGAAACUAUCCUAAUCCGCGAUAUUCUAAGCCGACUUCAAGAUAAAUGGAAAUCUUCCGAGAAUAUCGCUGGAGAGGCGGUUCAUCACCCCUAUAUAAAGAGACUCAAGGCUCUCGCAGAAGGCAAGCAAUAUCGCUCUAGAAAGUACACUACGCAAAGCUCUCACAGCACGAACACUUUUUCUUUUACGAUCAAACUCUUGUACGAUCAAAAUCAUCUUUUCAUUAAUAAUAUCAAGAACACCAUCUUUGGUAUCAAUCGUUUCUGUUGUUCUUUGAGAAUUCACGAUUAUCGUAUCCCUAAAAUAAAACCCUAGACAAAUCUUGAUUGUGUUAGUUUCGACCUCCACAGUUUGGCGCCGUCUGUGGGGAUACUUUAGAAUUCUCUUACCCUAAGACGCAGAACUCGAUUACUGAAAAGCACGAUGACCGAAGACGGUCGUCAGACACCACCAGCUGGAGGAGGAAUCCCGAACCCUCCGAACCCUGAGAACCCUCAACCCGCCGAUCCGACGAUCCUAGCGACUCUAGCCGAACUGAAAGAUCUGAUGGUUAAAUUCCAGAAGAAAACUGACGACCAAGAGAAAGCCAACCAAACCUUGGCGCAGCGAGUCGACGAAAUCGCAACACGCGGGCAACAAAAAACCACACGUUUCCAAACUCGGCCACCACGAGCUCGGAGGGACUUGCCUGGCAUCAACCCAACGAGACUCACGUUCGCGACACCAACCGGCAACACCAGAGUCGCAACCCGAGCCGACCAUGUCAGGCGCGAGGACCAGGAUGAUCCCACCGAGCCGGACGCAGUGGACUUGACAGACGAGCCAGAUCUUCAGGAUGAGCGUACCCGAGCCGGAGCUAAUUCCGCCGAGCGAACAGACCUUACUGAUGACGAAGAAACUGAAGAAAACAUAAGGUGGGCCGAAGAAUCCGAAAGAGAAGACGAGCUAAGCAAGAUCCGAGCCUCCCUAGCCAAGGCGGAAGCUGAUAUGAAGCUCGUCAAAACCCAGAUACAUAGCGUCUCAUCCUCCGCGCCGAACAUCGACCGAAUUUUGGAAGAAUCUCGGAAUACGCCUUUCACCAAAAGAAUUUCUGAGACGACGAUGUCCAACCUGGGAAAGUUCAGAAUCGACUCCUACAACGGAUCAACCGACCCGAAGUGCCACAUUAAAUCGUUCGUGAUAUCUGUGGCCCGAGCCAGGUUCAAGCCCGGAGAAAAGGAUGCGGGUCUGUGCUUACUGUUCGUGGAACACCUAAAAGGACCCGCAUUAGAGUGGUUUUCAAGAUUGGAACGAAACUCGAUUGAUAGUUUCGACGAGCUGUCGACAUUGUUCCUCAAACAAUACUCCGUGCUCAUCGACCCCGGAACUUCCGACGCGGAUCUAUGGUCCUUAUCUCAACAGCCCACCGAGCCAUUAAGGGAUUUCCUCAAGACCUUCAAAUCGACGCUAGCCAAGGUCGAAGGAAUUACAGAUGUAGCAGCUCUCUCGGCUUUGAAGAAAGCUCUCUGGUACAAGUCAGAAUUCAGGAAAGAGUUGAACCUGUCUAAACCAACAACAAUUCGUGACGCGCUGCAUCGAGCCUCGGAUUUCGUCGCCCACGAAGAAGAAAUGGCGCUACUAGCAAAGAGGCACGAGCCGACGAAACAGGCGUCCCGAGCCGAGAAAACCGAGAAAACUGAGAAAGCCCAAGCGGCACCUCCAAUCCAGAAGAAGACGCGUGAGAGCAGUACAUAUACGCAUCACGAAGGGCGCAAUUUCUCAGGAUACCAUAGCUACCAAAUCGACACACCCCGAGGCCGUGGCCGCGGCAGAGGCCGAGGCCGUGGGCGGGGAAGAGAGUCCUUCACCUGGACAAGGGAUCAGCCACCGAGCAAUGAUCAAGAAUAUUGCGAACACCACAAAAUUUUCGGCCAUCAUACCUCGAGAUGCCGAAGCCUCGGAGCCAAGUUAGCAACCAAAUUCCUAGCUGGAGAGCUCGGGACAAACGUUACUCUUAAGGAUCUCGAGCCAGAACCGGAGCCCGAGCAGACCAACCCAGGAAGAGACCCCGAACCAAGGAACCAGGAGUCUCAGAAAAGAACCCGGGGAUCGGAAGACGAAGACCGAGAUGGUACGCGGCAGAAGGUUUUUACUAUAAUGGGUGGAUCGCCAUACUGUCCUGACACUGUAGCGGCAAUCAAAGCUUAUCAACGCCGAGCCGAGACACCUAGCAACUGGACAAGACCCUUCGAUCGACCUAACGACGUGAUCACAUUCGAAGAGAGCGAGACAAACGGGCUCGACAUGCCUCAUAACGAUCCAAUCGUCGUCACAUUAGCGAUAGGAGACCACGAUAUUUACCGAGUGUUAAUUGACACCGGCAGCACCAUUGACGUGAUCUUUCGCGAAACGCUCCAACGAAUGAACAUCGACAUGUCACAGGUGAUUCCGACCCCGAGGCCUAUCCUCGGAUUUUCAGGGGAAACUUUGAUGACGCUUGGGACCAUCCAACUACCAGUCCGAGCCGGCGGGGUGACAAAGAUAGUCAACUUCUCAGUCACCGAUCGACCUACCAUCUACAACGUCAUAAUGGGAACCCCGUGGUUAAAUCUAAUGCGAGCUGUCGCAUCAACAUAUCAUCUGUGUGUCAAGUUCCCGACCCCUAAUGGCGUGAAAACAAUUUGGGGCAGUCAGAAAAAUUCUCGGAUGUGUUUCAUGGCAGCACACAAACUCCGAAACCCUGUCACUGAAGUAAAAGCUGAAACGGAUCACAAGAAAUCGAAACUUGGCCGGAGUGAAGAGAAGGCUAUAUCUAAACAGUUAUAGCAAUUACAGAUCGAGGAGGCGCGCGAGGAGAAGAAGCCUACCUCGGAUCCUGUAAUCUCCAUUAGCCUCGACGACGAACGGCCCGAACGAUGUGUGGAAUUUGGCAGCGACUUAACCGAGGAGCUCAAGACCGAGCUCAUCUCAUUCCUCAAGGAGAACAUCGACACCUUCGCCUGGUCGGCUGAAGAUCUACCUGGGGUAAGCAUCGACGUAAUCUGCCACGAGCUGAAUGUUGACCCAUCUUUCAAGCCCAUCAAGCAGAAGCGAAGAAAAUUGGGUCGGGAUCGCGCAGAUGCAGUGAACGCCGAAGUUGAAAAACUCCUGAAGAUCGGCUCGAUCUCUGAAGCAAGGUAUCCGGACUGGUUAGCAAAUCCUGUCGUGGUUAAAAAGAAGAACGGCAAGUGGAGAGUUUGCGUCGAUUUCACCGAUCUGAACAAAGCUUGCCCUAAAGACAGUUUUCCGCUCCCACAUAUCGAUCGUUUAGUGGAAGCAACCGUGGGAAAUAAGUUGCUAUCAUUCAUGGACGCUUUCGCAGGAUACAAUCAAAUUCUCAUGCACCCCGACGAUCGCGAGAAGACAGCAUUCAUCACAGACCGAGGUAUCUACUGUUACAAAGUCAUGCCCUUCGGACUCAAGAACGCCGGCGCGACGUAUCAGCGACUCGUCAACAGAAUGUUCUCCGAACAGCUCGGGAAGACGAUGGAAGUUUAUAUCGACGACAUGUUAGUCAAAUCUCUUGAAGAAAGCGACCACAUAGCCCAUCUAUGCGACUGUUUCCGUCAGCUCAACAAGCACAACAUGAAGCUUAACCCGGCAAAAUGUCGUUUCGCGGUAAAGUCUGGAGAAUUCUUGGGAUAUCUCGUAACACACCGAGGCAUCGAGGCGAACCCGAAACAGAUCGAUGCUCUACUAAACAUGCCCUCACCGCAGAACAAGCGCGAAGUCCAACGUCUCACCGGGAGAGUCGCAGCCUUGAACCGAUUCAUCUCGCGAUCCACUGACAAAUGCCUGGCUUUCUACGAUACUCUGCGCGGGAACAAUAAAUUCGAAUGGACCGAUCGCUGCGAAGAAGCUUUCCAGGAACUGAAGAAGUAUUUGGCUAAUCCACCGGUGUUAGCGAAACCAAUCCCGGGCGAGCCGUUAUUCCUGUACAUCGCAGUCUCCGACACGGCUAUAAGCGGAGUCAUAGUCAGGGAAGACAGAGGGGAGCAGAAGCCGAUUUUUUACGUCUCGCAAACUUUCACCGACGCGGAAACACGCUACCCGCAAACUGAAAAACUCGCCCUCGCCGUAGUAAUGUCAGCUCGGAAGCUACGGCCAUAUUUCCAGUCUCACUCGAUUGUCGUCAUGGCGCCCGUAUCGCUCCGAACCAUCUUGCACAGUCCAAGCCAAUCGGGACGCUUAGCCAAGUGGGCAGUAGAACUCAGCGAAUAUGACAUCGAAUACAGAAACAAAACAUGCGCGAAAUCUCAAGUCCUGGCCGAUUUCAUCAUCGAGCUGCCAACAGAGAACGUCCGAGAAGAGUCACCCAACGCUGUUUGGAUCCUCCACGUCGACGGCUCAUCCUCAAAACAAGGUUCUGGCGUCGGAAUCCGCCUCGCAUCACCAGAGGGUGAAAUCCUUGAACAAUCCUUUCGGCUAAAUUUCGACGCGACCAACAACGUGGCUGAGUACGAAGCGCUGAUAGCAGGACUUAAGCUGGCUCGGGGACUUAAGAUCAACAAGCUGCGAGCCUUUUGCGACUCCCAGCUCGUGGCUAAUCAAUUCAAUGGAGAAUACGCGGCUCGCGACGAACGAAUGGAAGCGUAUCUUGCUCUCACGCAAGACUUGGCGAAACAGUUCGGAGAGUUUGAGUUGAACAGAAUCCCACGAGGUGAGAACACAUCGGCCGAUGCCUUAGCGGCUCUAGCUUCAACCUCCGACCCAAAUCUGAAGAGGAUCAUACCGGUUGAGUUCAUCGAAAAGCCGAGCAUUGAAGAUAAUAGCAAAGAUCAAGUUCUAACAGCUCGGGAAACGGAAGAACCGGAAGAAAUGGACAUCGAACAGCUGGACCAGCAAACUACGGACGCAACCGAGCCCGAAUACGGAAGCGACGCCAAAUGGAUCGGAGCCAUCCGAAGCUACAUCGCCGACGGAGAAGUUCCUACUGAAAAAUGGGCAGCUCGGAAGCUUAAGGCCAAAGCGGCUCGGUAUACUCUGAUCGACGGAGAGCUCUUUAAAUGGCGAUUUUCUGGUCCUCUCCUUGUCUGUGUCGAAGGAAACGAAGCUCGGAGAGUCAUGGAAGAAGUACACGGCGGAUCUUGUGGAAACCAUUCCGGCGGGAGAGCCCUAGCCAUAAAGAUCAAACGCCACGGAUAUUUUUGGCCGACGAUGGUCAAAGACUGCGAGAAAUUCUCUCAACGGUGUGAUAAAUGCCAGAGGCACGCACCAACCAUUCAUCAACCCGCCGAGCUCCUCUCUUCCAUCACUUCGCCUUAUCCGUUCAUGCGAUGGUCCAUGGACAUCAUCGGACCUCUACACAACUCCAAACAGAAGAAACUCGUCCUCGUACUAACAGACUACUUCUCCAAAUGGAUCGAGGCAGACUCCUACGCCAGCAUCAAAGACGCGCAGGUCGAAAACUUCGUCUGGAAGAACAUCAUAUGCCGCCACGGGAUACCUUACGAGAUCGUUACAGAUAACGGAUCGCAGUUUAUUUCGGCUCGGUUCAAAGGAUUCUGCGAGAAAUGGGGAAUUCGCCUCAGCAAGUCUACGCCUCGGUAUCCUCAGGGGAACGGACAGGCCGAAGCGGCAAACAAGACGAUUCUCGACGGAAUAAAAAAGCGCCUCGACGCAAAGAAAGGCCGCUGGGCCGACGAAUUAGAAGGAGUACUCUGGUCACACAGAACCACGCCACGGCGAGCCACGGGAGAAACACCUUUCGCCCUUGUCUACGGCACGGAGUGUGUGAUUCCCACCGAAGCCGAGAUCCCGGGACUAAGGAGACGUUUUCUCCCCGAGCAGGAAAAUUCCAACACGCAGAUGAUGCUGGACGAGCUGGACUUAGUUGACGAAAGAAGAGAUUCGGCCUUGGUUCGAAUGCAGAACUAUCAGAAUGCAACGGCUCGGUACAACAACUCUCACGUUAAACAUCGCCGUUUCCACGAAGGAGAUCUCGUACUGCGCAAAGUUUUCCAGAAUACCGCCGAGCAGAACGCAGGCAAACUCGGCGCGAAUUGGGAGGGACCUUACGCGAUCGCAAAGGUAAUCCGUCCCGGCGUCUACGAACUCAUCAACAUGAACGGCAAAGCGGUACCUAGAUCCUGGAACGCAAUGCAUCUAAGGAAAUACUACCGCUAAAAACCUAAGGUACGCAUGUACUCGAACUACGGGGUGACUUGAUCCCUGAAAAGGGUACGUAGGCAGCUCGUCCUCGGACGAGUUCAGCUACCCCCCCUAAUUAAAAAAGGGGGGGAGUGGGUCCGUAUAUCCAUACUCCCACUCAAAACUUUAUCAAUUAUACGUUUCCUAUACUCCUAUUCAAAUUUUAUCAAACUAUAUUUCUAAGUAUACACUUCGGGUUUUUAUCCGAUCAAAUCCACCUCGGUCUUUACCCCGAAACUCGCCUCGGGAAAUCAACACGGUCUAAACUCCGUUCGUUUCGUUUGGGCGAUGGCCACGCCCGCGAACUAAAUUCAUCUACACCUCUACGGUUACAGCGCGCUAUAUAAGCAUCCAAGACAAUUCGGAAGGAGAUAUCCUCCCAUAAAGAAGUUGUCUUCAGAAAACCCAGUUCACUUCUACACUGGUACCCCAGUUCGCUUCUAAGCACUGGCAUCGACUAUAUCAGCUCGGGUCGCAACCGACAAAGAUUAGUCCUACUUACCAAAACCCGGUUUACUUAACACUGGUACACGAUUUGCUUGGUUCGAAAAGUGAUUCGAAAAGCUCUGAGACUAGAAAUUUAUCGAGAACAAAAUAUAUUCAUUAUCAAUAGUGGAUAAAGCCGUCCAGGCAUCAAGUCUUACAAAAAUCGAGAAUUAAAAGGAAUGCGCCACGGAUCUACUCAUCCCGCUCCUCCGGAACAUGUGCGACUUCGGAGCUCAGAUUCGUGCCGGCCUGAUCCCUAAUACCAAUUUCCGCGGCAACCCCUUCGAUUGACCUGUUUCCGAAAUUAUCUUCAACAGAAUCCGGGGAAGCCGGAGGAAGCCUCAGAUCCUCUCGCAGCUCGGUUCCGAUCCGCACAAACUCCUCCUCGGCAUCUCCAUACUCAGCUUUCCACUGGAGAACUUCCUCCUUCUCAUCCUCGACAUUUUUGCCGCCUUCAAGGUCGGCGAUCAAUUCAGCGUUAGCUCUGGCCUGGACGAGGAACAUGUAGCGCUCGGACGCCUUCCCAUACAGGUCCAUCUUCGCUUCUAUCGCCUUGACCUUCUUGGCGAACUCCUUCCUAGCCUUUUUCCUCUCCCGACGUACCUCCUUCUCCCGAAGCGAUUUCUCCUCGGAGAAUAGUCGGUUCAAGCGUUCGAUUUCGGCUUCCAUCUUCCGACGAAGACGAAGACCGUCCUCAGCCACCUUUAAUCGCUCGACCUUCUCUGCCUUAGCCAACGCUUCGGCUUCCCGCCUGGCCUCAUCCGCCUCGGCAACCUUAGUCGCCGCCUCGGCAAUCUUGGCCUCUGCCUCGGCCAUCUUGGCAUCGGCCCCAGCAAUUCUGACCUCCGCCUCGGCUCGGGAAGUCUCAUAUCUACGGUUCGAGGAGUCGUAGGCUCGAACCAUGCGGUUCAUCGAAUGGAAAGCCUGGAACGCAAAAAACUAAAGUUAGUACUAAGAAUUUUAAAAGGCUUAGGAAGCUUCGGAAAUAAACCAUUACCUUCAGGAAUCCCGCAGCAGUUUCGCGGUAAUUUUCAGCCUCCAGCAAGGCCUCGGGCGCAGCUAGGGUCGGACCCGAGCAAGAAGCGAUAAGAUUAGCAGAUGCCGUCUUAUCUUUGUAGAUGGGAGCCUCGGUGCGACUCCUUUUCUCUUUCCUACGACCUCCCGAGCUAUCACCUCGGGGCCUCUUAACCUUCGCCUUAGCUUUCGCCUCGGCACCAAGAGCGACAAUAGCCGAGGUCCCUACCACCUCGGGAAUAUUGGUCACAGGAGAGAUUCGCUCAGCCGCCUCGGGCAUGAUCGAAACCAUAUCCCGAGCUUCAUUGGUCGCCUCGACGCCGACGACUUCAAGACUGGCCUCGGGAGGAGUAGGAGGUCUGAAGUUUGCCUCCAAAACGGCUUUUUCCUUAGCCGCUUUCUUUUCAGCAGCCUUCCUGGCUCUCAGAGAUUGCGCAGCUCCUUGCAUUUCGAUGAGGUGAUCUAGACGGUGGUCGGAUGAUUCUGAAGAAGAUUGGCAGGGAGCUCCGUGCAACAAACGCAAGGCUCUCUCAAUUCUUUCUUGGGAGAAGUGUUUCGUCCAAUCACACUUCCGAGCUAUCAGUUCGUCGUGCAGAUCUAAAAAGCCUUCGGGGACGUCUUCGAGAAAUGACGGAUUCCGAUCUGCGAAAACAAGAAAAUAUUUAGUGAAGUUCAAAGCAAAACAAAACAUCAAGUAUGGCUUCGGGCGUAGUACCAAUCGUUCUCCACUUUCCAACAACUUUCCCUAAGUAGUCCUCGUGGACACUAUACUCAUUCAAGGCUACGAAGAAGAAAUGGUCAGUGUACUUCUCGUCCUUGCUCGGGAAACCACCAAUAACCCUUCUAUUUGGCCUCGGGGAUAUGUAAAAUCUCUCGACGGGGCCAGGUAUGCGCCGAAUCUCUAGGAGAUUCCUUAAGUGGCUAAGGCCGACAAGGUUGACCGUCUCAAUACUCCGGACUAGAAUCCCUAUGAGAUGGCGCAAGCCUCGGGUUGUGAUCUGAGACAGAGCGAUCUUGUACGACCAUAGAAACGCCAAUACAGGCCUCGGAAUCGGAAUCUAUAAGUAGCAAUGGUAGAAGAACCCCUCAUAAAGGGUGAAAAACCCCUCGGGUGGAUCAUCCGCUCGCUCAUUCGAAGUUGGAAGUCUUAGUUCAAUCCCUUCACUAAAACCAAAUCGAGCCUUGAGAUCCCGAAGCGAAUCCUCCGUGCAUAAAGUGGAACCCGGAGGAUCAGGUUUCCUAGCUUUUUUGGCUCGUUUUCUCUUCUGUUGACCCUUGGCUGCUUGGAUUUUAGCUUGGAGCAACCUAGCCGCCUCGUCAGAAUCGUAGUGAACCUCCUCGGCCUUAACAGGAAGUAGAGGCGCCUCGGGGGCAUUUCGCCAGCAUGAAACCCCAGCUUCAUCAGCUGCCGGUGGAUGGACUUUCCUCCUGCUUAAAGUCGCCUCGGGAUCAUCAGGCAAAUCCUGAUCCCGAGCCACAUCUGCAACCGCAUCUUCCCGAGCGAUGAAACGGCUCGGGUCUUCUUCCCGCGAAGCCGACUCUGCAUCACUUCCACGGUACAACACGAUCUGAUGGUCCGUGGUAUCCGCCUCGGGGUCGCUCGAGGAACUCCAGACCAUCUUUCUCUUGUAGACGGGAAGAUGAAUGUCGCCUCGGGGCGAAUCGCUGGAAUCAGAUAGAGACAUUUUCUGGCUCGGGAGAUUGGAGAAUUUUAUCGGAGGAACAAAGCCCGAUAGAUCGGAGAAAUCAACCUAGAUCUAAUGACGGCGGCGCUACGACGGAAGUAUAACGGAAAAAUAGAGAAAAUGCAAAAAAACUCAAGAUCAGAGAAAGAAGAGAACGAACCUCGAAAAAUUUCCUUUGCAGUUGCGAAAUGAGAGAAUGAGUCCGAGACUUAACAUUUAUAGGGACUUAAGGCGCGUCGGGUACGAACCAAAUAAAAACAUCGCGUUCGCGUCUAAGGCGCGUCGGGCACGCACAAAUCAAAUAAGAUACUUCGCAUCCGCACCAAUCUCGGGAAUCAGCGAAAGGACCUUUCCACUUCUCGAGAAGGAAUCCCAACCGUCACACGCCAAGAGAAGAUGAAACGACAGAGGAAUUCAAACCGCUAAAGGGACCGAACUAUUCAAAGUAAACGGCUCGGCCUAAUUGUCACAGCUCGUCACGCUCGGCCCUCCAAACUAACGAGCUGGGGGGCUAACUGUUGGGGUCGGAUUCCAUCCUUUAGCGCCAAGCCAGACUUAGAAUACUUCGGGAGUCUUUCGGCGAUCGCCUCGGGGUAUCGCAUCAUUCACCUCGGGAUAUCCCGAACAAGACAUCGAAAGCACCCGAGCCCAAUUGCCUCGGGGGUACCCGAGCCCAUCGCCUCGGGAGUUUCUGAGCCCAUCGCCUCGGGGACACCCGAAGAAGCCAUCCUAGAGUGCCCGAGCCGUUUCUUCCUGUGUACCCGAGCCAGUUGCACAAGUUCCCCGAGGCGAAGUCUUCAUCGUCGCCCGAAGCAAAGACUUAGUAAAUAUUCUUCUUUAAAGGUAUCAUUUCCAAGCAUAUUAUCAUUUCCGAAAAAGAAGGAUCAUUUCCGAUAAACUCGGAAAUGAUAAGGAAGAAUCUCGAAGGAUCAACUCAAAUCAGGAAAUCUUCCAAAAGACUCCGAAGAAUAAGGAAACUAUCCUAAUCCGCGAUAUUCUAAGCCGACUUCAAGAUAAAUGGAAAUCUUCCGAGAAUAUCGCUGGAGAGGCGGUUCAUCACCCCUAUAUAAAGAGACUCAAGGCUCUCGCAGAAGGCAAGCAAUAUCGCUCUAGAAAGUACACUACGCAAAGCUCUCACAGCACGAACACUUUUUCUUUUACGAUCAAACUCUUGUACGAUCAAAAUCAUCUUUUCAUUAAUAAUAUCAAGAACACCAUCUUUGGUAUCAAUCGUUUCUGUUGUUCUUUGAGAAUUCACGAUUAUCGUAUCCCUAAAAUAAAACCCUAGACAAAUCUUGAUUGUGUUAGUUUCGACCUCCACAAGUAUAUGCAAUUCUUCCAUAUUAUUGUUUUUUUUUGGAGCUAUAAAGAUAUGCUAAAUUAUAUUUUAUUAAAUAUCUUCCUUUUCAACACUGUAUAAAGGGUGCUCACUUUUGGUUCUAAGUUUUUGGACUUAUAUUUUCCGUCGAGCUACUCUAUGAUUACUUUCGCAUCUUUAUCGAAUAAUUGUUUGGUGCAUUGUCCCCUAAUUAGAAUCUAUAGAUAUAAAAUAUAUUAGUGUAAGAACAACAUAUAUAUAUUAGAGGUAUAUACAUAGUUAAAACAAAAGUGAAGCCGGUCUAUUAAUAUAAUAAUAAUAAUUUGCAUUUUAUGUGAUGAUAUUGGGAGGGGGAAGAUGUGUCACAUUCUGCUCAAUGUAAAUAAUAUAAAGUGGAAGAUGAGGAGCAGUUUUAAACAUGUAAACUACUUACAAGGUUUAAUGUCAGUAUAUUAAAGCUAAAGUAGUAUAAAAUCUUAAAUCUUAUAAUACUUGAAUGUCCUCCAUAUAUGACCAUGUUUAUGAAUAACACUAUAAACAAUUUUAGAGAUGCUCAAAAGUAGCACAAAAAUAUCCUCUAAGUUUAGCAUAUAAACCUUAAAAUCUCGUAUUAACACGGUUAAAGACAUAUAUUUAUGUGGGAGGAACUUAAAUAAGUAUCAGGUUUUGUGCUUUUGGGAUAACAUGUAAUGUGACCAAUAAUGCUACACAUUGUUAACUUUCCUCAACAAUUAGGCCUUUUUGUGUGUGUGUGUGUGUUGGUGAGUCAUCAGCUUUCCUCCACAAUUAGGUCUUGCCAAGUUUAAAAUGUCCGACGUCGCAUUUUGGCUAUUUCCUGAUAAGUUAAAUGAAUAGAGUGGACUGAAACAUCAUUAGAUUCCUAAUCAAAUUGUUCUCUUAUUUAUCCACUUGGAUGGUCCAUAAGAAACCCACAAUUGAAUAAUCAAUUUACUAACUUCUGGAUUACGAAUAAAUCAACGAGCAAAUGCGCCGGUUUCACAUUAUCCAAAAAUAUAUACAAUAAUUAAACCUGUACUGCAACUAUUUAUAUAUUUAUAUGGUACUAGUAGACGCAUUUCAAUUAGUUAUUUAACAGUAUAGUAAGUUAUUAAAAUUUUAAAAAAUAUUUAUCGUAAUAAUAACUUGAGGAGCAUGGUUCAUGAUUUAAGAGAGGAGUUGAAUAUGGAAGGCUGUCAUGCUGAUGAUGCUAAUUUUUUGGAGACCAUAUCGAUAUUAAUUAAAUUUUAAUUAAAUUCAUUUUAAUUCGGCGAAUCACACAUUUAUUGUACAAAUUGCAAAGAAAACGAAAAGUUUGAUUAAGAAGAAAAAUAUAUGGAAGUGAGAGCAUAUAAUCGAAACAAUUAUCGAUGUGAGAGCAUAUAUAAGAGCAUAUGUGAAUGUUGUAUUGUAUGUAUGAAGUGACGAACCUAAAACUAUAAAUAAACAUGGAUCACAAUGAUCAUGAGUCCUACUUUUACCCGACAUCCUAUUGUCUUUUUUUUUUGGAGAUUCACAAAAAUGCCCCUUUUUCAAUACCCCUUUUUAAAAAUGCCUCCUUUGGCUGUCCAUUUUUAAAAAUACCCUUUUUUAUGUACAAAAUGGCUAAAUUACUCUUCUUUUAAUAAAAGAUAUCACAAAUAUAUAAGGAAAUAUAACAAAAUUAGGUCCACAAAAUACAAAAUAUUUUUUGGCGGGAAAAGUGAGCCCUCAAUUUUUCCCGCCAAAACACUUGUAAAAAACCUUUAAAAUACCUUGUAAAGUUUUCCCGUAAAAUUUUUUCCCGCCAAAAAAUUUUCCCGCCAAAAAAUUUUUUUGCGGGAAAAGUGAUUCCGUAAUUUUUUUGGCGUUAAAUUGUUGGCGGGAAAACAUNNNNNNNNNNNNNNNNNNNNNNNNNNNNNNNNNNNNNNNNNNNNNNNNNNNNNNNNNNNNNNNNNNNNNNNNNNNNNNNNNNNNNNNNNNNNNNNNNNNNAGAUAUAUAAGAUGUACAAGCUAUUUAUAAGGUUUACAAGUUAUAAGAUUUACAAGUUUUUAUAAGGUUUACAAGUUUUUUACAAGUUAUAAAUUCCUUAUAAAAUUUUAUAAGUACCUUGUAAAACCUUUUAAAAUACAUUGUAAAACCUUACAAAACACUUGUAAAUAUUUCGUAAAACCUUUAAAAUACCUUGUAAAUUUUUCCCGCCAAAAAAAUUUCGCCAAAAAAAUUGCGGAAUCACUUUUCCCUCAAAAAAAAUUUUUGCGGGAAAAUUUUUUGGCGGGAAAAAUUUUUACGGGAAAAUUUUACAAGGUAUUUUAAAGGUUUUUUACAAGUGUUUUGGCGGGAAAAUUGCGGGAUCACUUUUCCCGCCAAAAAAUAUUUUGUAUUUUGUAGACCUAAUUUUGUUUCAAAUAAGGGUAAAAUGGUCAUUAAAAAUUAAAAGAGGGCAAACUUAAAAAUGGACUUUCAAAGGGGGCAUUUUUGAAAAGGGGUAUUGAAAAAGGGGCAUUUUUAAUUUUUUAACUCUAUAUAGUAUUUAUAAUUUUAACUCUAUCUGUGGUCCCUAAAUUUACAUGCUAUAUCUGUGGUAAUUUAGGUAUACUACAGAUAGAGUUACGUCUUAGCAGGAUUGAUAUUAGCAUGUAAACUAAAGGUUCGAAUUCAAUAUCCUAGAAUUCAAAAAUGAUCACUGUACUGUAAUUUAGAUAAGACAAUUAGGUAAUUAAUAAAAACAAACAACAAAAAAAAGUUUUUAGAAUUUGUCAACUUCCAAUUCAGUAAUCUAAUAUCAUUGACUUUGUAAAACCCCUUGACAUACGUCAAUAGAAGAUCUUGCAAAGAUUUUAUUUCACUAAAAAAUAAAUUAUUUGUUGAGAUGCCGAACUUAGGAACUAAUUUAUAUAUCAAUAUGUGUCCUUUCUAUUAAUUGUUUAACUGUUGUUUCGUCAGGUUAAUAUCGACACAAAAAUUAUAUAACCUGAGCCUUAAUUUAUUACAAUUAUUACUAACGCGAGAAUGACUAACAAGGUUUUUAAAUUCUUUUUUUUUUUUUUUAAAUUAUAAUGUAGGCCAAAAUCCGUCUAAUCUGGUGGGUUCAAGAACAACGAAGCUGUUCCAAACGGAAAUCAAACAAAAGGGAAUGAUUUUGUUUCCUAUAACAUCUAUUUUGUUAAAACUUACUAUUUAUUUAUUUUUAAAAAAUUUGUGAUAUCCAGUUUACAAAUAGACUUUAUGAAAAGUUAUAGAUAGAAGGGGAAAAAAAGAGAGUUAUAGAUAGACAAAAGGUUACUUAAAUAGUGAUUAUAAAUAAACGAUAUAUAUAAACUAAAAAGUGAAGUUACACAUAAUUGUUCGAAAGCAUUAUUAUUUUCUUUUUGUUAAGGUGUUCGAAAGUAUUUAACCAGUAACCACCGCUGGAUACAUUUGGAUAAAUAGAAACAAAUAUUUUAUGUAACGAUAGUAUUAGUAGUAUCAAUAAACUAUAAUUUUGACAUAAAGUCUACGUGGAGUGGAUGAAUUAGUGGGUUCCAAUUAAUGAUACAAAAGUAUAUAAAUUGUGAUCAAAGGAAUAUUGGUAUAAUAAGGAAUAUUACUUGUACUAAAAAUAAUCAAAUACAGGUCAAUGCUUUGUAUAUACUAUAUACUAUAUAUAGUAUAUUUACAAUUAAAAUAAAUUUUGUUGUGUCAUGUCAUAUGGUUAGAUAUAAAUUAUAAUAAACAUAGCUCUCGGUCUCGUGAGCAAAAUAAAUAGCUUUCACUUACAAAAUUAAAUCAUAUCAUAUUGUAUCCAAACUUACAAAAUUACAUCUUUUCUUUCUUAAGACAGUGAGUUCUUGAGGAUGUAAUUUGUACAUAAAGUAAAUCCCAUAUGUUAUUUUUUUUUUCUCUAAUUAAGUCUUUUCUGAAUUAGGCCAAAAAAAGAGAACUUAAAUGAAAUUUCAAAUCGACACGUAUACCGCCACGGGUAAAUGAAAGGCACAUGCUGAUGCUAUGAAAUAUUGACAUGCGCAUGUGAGCCACCAAAGAUUCUCAGGUUGUUAAGCUAAACAUGAUUAUGAGAGCGGUUAAGGCCAAUUAAUGAUUAGGAAUUAGGAUGUUAAGCCGUAUCCAACAGAAACAAAUCUUUAAUAGUCCUGUUUCCUAAUAAUUGUCUAUCUUUUGUUUUUUUCCUCUUGAAAAUGGUUAUGAUACUUCAUACUUUAUAUGAAUUAUAUAUAUAAUAUAUAUUUGUUAAUUUAUCGAUAGAAAUUGUUAGAUCAGGACUAUUUCAAUGUUUUUUCUCAUAAUUUUCUUGUUAGUGUUAAAAAUUUUAUUAGAACAAUUUGUAUUGAGAAAUUAGUAAAUUUAUUAAUUAACUUCUCUGUUAGAUGAAGCAUUUCUUUCCGACAAGACACCAGGAUAAUCCCAUACCGCCACAACACAUGCAUAUAAUGAUGCUCCAUCGUCCAACUUAUGGAAUUGAGCGAAAGCUCAUAAUUAACUGCGGUUAAAACAUAACACGUAGUAUAUCUAACAAGAAUUGACACGUAAAAAAAAAAACUUUUAGGAAGUGUAAUUAACAACAGUAAUUUUCUUUUGUAAAACAUUGUUUCGCUCCAAAUCCAGGGUGGGAGUGCAAGUUUGUGAGAUUUAUGAAAACAUUAGAUUAUAUGAAGUUAUGUAACUAGCUGCACAGAUUUUUAUUUUCUGAGAGCUAAAAUAUGACGCGAAAUACGUUUGCGGAUAAUGAGUUUUGUGAAAGCUAAAAAACAUCAUGUAUAUAUUAAAUUUUCUUCAGUUAUAUUUUUUUGGGUUAAGAUAAUCAAAUUGUAGUAUUAGAUUCUGAAAUGGUUAAUGCAGAACAUUAACAAAUUUGUGGGCUUAAUGGGCUUCGACCGGGCAAGUUAUAUAUAACGUGUAUCGACAAUUUAGUUCAGUUCAUUUGUAGCAUGUAUACUAAACAGUAAACACAUUCAAAACUUGAUUUUGCACAUGUUUAAAUAAGAUGUGAUAUACUAUAAUAAAAAGAAUCUUUUUUUGGAAGAAAUUAUUUUAUGUACUUAAUUAGAUGCCAUGAAAUUAAAAUAUUUGUUUCUGCAGAGAAAAUUGUUCUAAAUCAUUUAUGUCAAAUUACAUUUAUUAAUUUCCAGAUAGCUUCAUAUCAUACGCACACUUACAUUAAUUAAAAAAUAUAAUUUUUUUGAAGUAACAAACUAGGUAAAAAAUGCUUUGAUAAUUUUCUUCAAAGAGAAACGGAAUAUAAAAAGAGAAACGGAAUUUCUCUUCAAAGGGUUAUUGUGGUUGGUCAGAAUUUUCCUAAAAGGUAUGAUGUUGGUCGAUUGUGUUUGGAUUUUGCGUAUAUGGAGUUGAGUUUUAGUGGUUGUAAAAAAUGGUUUUACUACGGUUUGAUUUCCGGUUUUUUAUGGUUGGUUGUGGAUACUAUAAGGGUUAAAAUAUCUAGAUUCAAUUGUGAUUGAGUUUCUUUAAAAAAGAAUCAAAGGAAUGCAGGUCAUAACUCGACGCACUAUGGCACGGUAAAGGACUUCACGGGUGGACGCAACCCACCGAAACACAAAGUUGAUAAAUGAAGGUUUUGAGUUGGAAUUGUCAAGGACUUGGAAAUAAAGCAACUAUCGGUUAUCUUAGGGAUAUAUGGAAACAACACCGGCCAAACUUUUUAUUCCUUUCGGAGACAAAACAACCUUCUUGGUUUAUGGAAAAAUUUAUCGGUCAUUUUGGUUACAAAAAUUUAAAAACAGUUGAUCCUAUCGGUUGUAGUGGCGGUUUAGCCCUUUAUUAUAAUAAUGAUUUUAAUGUUUCAAUUAUUUAUGAAAGUAAUCGUUUAAUUGAUGUUGAGGCGGUGAUAAAAGGAAAAACAAUACAUCUUACUUUCGUUUAUGGUGAUCCGGUUCCGAAAAAUAGAGAUCAAGUUUGGGAACGGUUAACACGGAUCGGUUUGAUUAGAGACACACCCUGUUUCUUAAUAGGUGAUUUUAAUGAGUUAACUGGAAAUCACGAGAAAAGAGGUGGUACUUUAAGACAUGCAUCUUCUUUUAUCUCUUUUAAUUUAAUGAUUCAAAAUUGCGGUCUUUUAGAGUUUCCAUAUAUCGGAGAUUGGUUAUCAUGGCGGGGUUGGCGGGAUAAGAAACCAAUACGGUGUCGGUUGGAUAGAGCUUUAGCAAACGAAGAUUGGCAUGAAUUAUUCUGCAAUUCUUUCGUUGAAUAUUUACCAAUGGUAGCUUCCGACCAUUCACCGGUGGUAGCUACGCUCAUGGAUAAGGUCCCACAUGGGAAAAGAAAUUUCAGAUUUGAUAAAAGAUGGAUUGGAAAGGAAGGAUUACUCGAGGCAAUUUCAAAUGGUUGGAAUUCUGACCCUCAGUUAGGAGGGGGAAAAUUUGUGGAAAAAUUGACUAAUUGUAGGCGGGCUAUUUCACAAUGGCGGAAAAAUUUAACUCCCUAUGGGCGGCGAACAAUUGAGGAACUAAAAUCGGAAUUAAUUCUGGCACAGAGAGAUGAUAGGAGACCACGGGAAGAGAUUACAGAAUUAACAUUGCGGUUGAAAGAAGCUUAUCGAGAUGAGGAAUUGUAUUGGCAUCAGAAAAUUAGAAGCUCUUGGAGGCAACUAGGGGAUAAUAAUUCAAAGUAUUUUCAUGCUCUAACAAAACAAAGACGGGCAAGGAAUCGAAUAACGGGGCUACAUGAUAAAAACGGAAUUUGGUUUGCAGAGGAUAAAGAUAUUCAAAAUAUAGCAGUAUCUUAUUUUCAGGAACUGUUUACUACAACUAAGCCUGAGGCUUUUGAGGAAUCCUUGGCAGAAGUUCAAUCUCUGAUUACGGAUCAGAUUAAUAAUUUUCUAACGGCACCCGCAACGGAAUGUGAGGUGAGAACGGCUCUGUUUAUGAUGCAUCCGGAAAAAGCACCAGGUCCUGAUGGAAUGACAGCCUUAUUUUUCCAAAAGGCUUGGGUUACUAUUAAAACAAACCUUCUUUUUCUGGUUAAUUCUUUUUUAGAGGAUGAAAUUUUUGAUAAACGGUUAAACACGACUAAUAUUUGUAUGAUUCCAAAAACGGAAAGACCGACACGGAUGACGGAAUUACGGCCUAUCAGUCUUUGCAAUGUUGGGUACAAAAUUAUAUCAAAGAUUCUUUGCCAAAGACUCAAGACGGUGCUACCAAAACUGAUUUCGGAAACACAAUCGGCUUUUGUAGAAGGACGAAUGAUUUCAGAUAAUAUUCUCAUUGCACAAGAGAUGUUUCAUGGGUUGAGAACUAACCCAUCAUGUAAAGGAAAAUUUAUGGCCAUUAAAAAGGAUAUGAGUAAAGCUUAUGAUAGGGUGAAAUGGAUUUUCAUAGAGAAGGUUUUAAGAAAAUUGGGUUUCUGUGAAAAAUGGAUUAAGUGGAUAAUGUGGUGUAUUACAACGGUCCAAUAUAGAGUUCUUCUUAAUGGACAACCUAGAGGACUAAUAGUACCAGAGAGGGGUUUACGACAAGGAGACCCGCUCUCACCUUAUCUAUUCAUCUUGUACACUGAAGUGCUAAUUGCAAAUAUUCGAAAAGCUGAACGGGAAAAAUUAAUUACGGGUAUCAAAGUAGCAAAUGCAAGCCCUUCAGUUUCACAUCUGUUAUUUGCGGAUGAUAGUUUAUUUUUUUGCAAGGCUAACAAGGACCAAUGUGGGGUAAUUUUGGAGAUUUUAAAGAAGUAUGAAGCGGUCUCGGGACAGCAGAUUAAUUUUUUAAAAUCUUCGAUUCAGUUUGGGCAUAAGGUAGAUGAUGAUAUUAAGGAAGAAAUCAAAUCUACCUUAGGUACCACUAAUAUCGGUGGAAUGGGUUCUUAUCUUGGAUUGCCGGAGAGUUUAGGGGGAUCGAAGACAAAAAUCUUCUCUUUUGUCAGAGAUAGACUACAAACAAGGAUUAACGGAUGGUCGGUAAAAUUUUUAUCAAAAGGGGGAAAAGAAGUGAUGAUAAAAUCGGUAGCUGCAGCAUUACCAACUUAUGUUAUGUCAUGCUUCAGAUUACCAAAAACAAUCACUUCUAAACUUACUAGUGCGGUUGCUAAUUUUUGGUGGAGCUCAAAUGGUGAUUCCAGAGGUAUGCACUGGAUGGCUUGGAAUAAAUUGUGUAAUAGCAAAUCAGAAGGGGGAUUAGGGUUUCGGAACGUUGACGAUUUUAAUUCAGCUUUACUAGCAAAACAAUUAUGGCGGUUGAUCAUGGUUCCUGAUUCUCUUUUCACAAAGGUGUUUAAAGGAAGAUAUUUUAGGAAAUCCAAUCCUUUGGAAAAUAUAAAAUCAUAUUCUCCAUCAUAUGGAUGGUGGAGUAUAUGUUCAGCUAGAUCUCUGGUUAAUAAAGGACUUAUUAAAAGAGUCGGAUCUGGGACAUCCAUCUCGGUUUGGGAGGAUCCCUGGAUUCCAGCUCAAUUCCCGAGACCAGCAAAAAGUAAUGGUUCAAUUGCUGACCCAUCAUUAAAAGUUAACGAUCUUAUAGAUAGUCGGUCGAAUUUUUGGAAUAUUGAUCUCUUAAAAGCGAUCUUUGAUCCAGAAGAUGUCGCGCUAAUAAGCGCCAUACCUGUGGGUGCACCAACAAAGGAAGAUUCUUUGGGUUGGCAUUUUACAAAAUCCGGAAAAUAUACAGUUAAAUCGGGAUAUCAUACCAUACGGAUAGAAAAGUCGGAGACCAAUUUACCUUUUUUUGGCCCUGACAUCAAAUUUCUAAAAGCACAUUCUUGGAAAGUGCAAUGUCCACCUAAGAUACGCCAUUUCUUGUGGCAAAUCUUAACGGGUUGUGUACCGGUUACGGAAAAUUUGCGAAAAAGAGGAAUUGAUUGUGACACGGGAUGUGCUAGAUGUGGCGCAAUAGAGGAAACGAUCAAUCAUACACUCUUUCAGUGCCACCUGGCACGGCAGAUUUGGGCACUUUCACAGAAUUCCUACGACUAUAGGGAUUUUUCCCACAGAAUCAAUUUUUGCGAAUUUGGAUCAUUUAUUUUGGAGAAUACCUUCGGAAUUUGAUUCAUCAGCCUUCCCAUGGAUUAUUUGGUAUAUUUGGAAAGCAAGGAACGAAAAGAUCUUUGAAAAUUUAGACAAAGACCCAAUAGAGGUAUUACGAUUAGCGGAAAAAGAGGCACAAUUGUGGCAGUCAGCUCAAAUUGAGCUCCAUAAUGAAAAUCAUGGGUCUAUGGACUUGGUGAAUCGAACUCGAGUGAGGGAUGCUUUACUUGAGUCGAAUUAUUCUGGAUACCGUUGUUUUGUGGAUGGAUCAUGGAAAGAAAGUGAUAAGUUCUCCGGUACAGGAUGGUUCUGUACAUCGUCAAAUGGAGAACCGCCAACCAUGGGAGGUGCGAACCUCCGUAGAAGUCUAUCUCCACUCCAUGCCGAAGUCGAGGCCCUUCUCUGGGCGAUGAAGUGUAUGAUUGGUGCAGAUCAUCAAGAGGUAGCGUUCUUUACAGACUGUUCAGACCUGGUGAAGAUGGUGUCUUCUCCAACCGAAUGGCCGGCGUUUUCAGUGUAUUUGGAGGAAUUUCAUAGCGAGAAAGAAGAGUUUUUAUCUUUUUCUUUAUCUUUAAUUUCUCGAAGAGCUAAUGUUAAAGCGGAUAAUCUGGCACGAAAAGUUCGUACAGAACCGCUUCAUAUCACAUAUGUAAACAACAUUCCCCAGUAAUGACUCUUUUGAGCUUUAAUUAAUUUCUAAUGACAAAAAAAAAAAAAAAAAAAAAAAAAACUAGGUAAAAAAUAAUUUUAUGGUAACAAAUGAUUUUAUAGUACAUUGAUAUAUAUCAAUUGUCGUAAUACAUUCCAAGGUUAUAAAAAUAAUAGAUUAACAUUCAUUUUUGAUCGAAAUUUGAUAUCACCACAUUAUUUUUACAAAUAAACCUCUAGAAGUUGCCUAUUUAGUACAUAUACUAGGAUCGGACCCGCGGUCCACCGCGGAAGAAUAUUGGUUUACAUACGUUGAUUUUAAUAGUACGUGUUUUAAGUAGAGCGAAUCGGAUAGUGUACUUAUAAAUAUUCAUAAUAACGAAUUGUAGAGAAAAUGUAAAUUGUUUAUAAUUAAACCGAUCAUAUUAAUUAUGAUUAAAAAAUAGAAUUUUAUGUUUUAGAAUUCUAAAAUUAGAUGAUUCAUAGGAAUUAGAGCAGUAAAAAUAGGUCAAAAACCGUGGGUCGAGCCCAAAUCAGCUCACUAUGGGGCAUAUUUGUGAAAAUAUAUUAAACCCGUAAAUAAACGGGCCACACGGAUUGAUUCGCAGUGGAUCAUAGGUUUUUAUCGGUUUUCGUCCGCGGGUUGGCGGAUCAGCCCGCAUGUUAGUAUUUAUUGAUAAAAGUAUAAUUUAUUCAACAUUUGGUAAUUUAAAAUUUUUUUAAUAAAUGAAAUUAUAAUAUUCAUAAAUAUAAUGAGAUAUAAAAUUAUUUCCUCUAAUUUUUAUUUAUUUAUUUAUUUUAGUAGUAUUUAAAAAUUUCGUUACUUUAAAAUUAUUUAAACAAAAUCCACGGACAACCCCGCAAAUCAGCAUACAUUCGCGGGACGGAUUUGUGUUUUCAUAUAUGCUAUCUGCGGGUCGUGUGGACCAACUAACUAUAUGUCAAAAUAUAUUUUGUCUAUCACAAAACGGGCUUAACGGGAUGAAUCAACUCGCUUUGACAGCUCUAGUGGGAAUAUUAUUUAGUCAUACAACAAAAUAGAGUUUGGACAUAGGAAUAAUAGAAUCUAUAUCCUAUUUCUUAGAUGAGAUAUUGAAAAUUUGAAAGGUGAAAUAUAACGAUUAAUAAUUAAUUAUUAUUUUUCAUGAUUCGCAAAAUUUAAUAAAUAUUUAUCAUCUUGUUGAAUAAUUCUAAAAAUCAUAUUCAAGAAAUCUUUAUAAUUUUAAAAUUAAAUUUCUUUGGUAAGUUAUAAAUAUGAAAAUACCAUAAUUUCGUUUAAUUUAAUUAAAUUUAAUUUACACGACCAAAAUAAAAAUAUCUAUUUAAUUUAUAAAAUAGAUGGGUUAGUUGUGAUAAAUUUUCUAGAAAUCUUUUGAAGCAAGUAAGAUAUCUUUCAAUUAAUGCUAAUUGGCUAAAAUAAGCAAAAUUAAUGACAAAAACGUUGAUUAUUAUGGAAUUAGUUCCAAAAAUAUAUGAACAAAUAUAUUAUACGUAAUUAAUGUAUAGUAUUGUUCGGAAUAUGAUUUUAUAAUUAGUUACCAUAAAUACAAUCAUAUUUAAUUUGAUUUCAAUAAAUAUUUUAUUUUAGUUUGAUUUUUUAUUAUUUAAUAUUAAUUAGAAAUCAUAAUCCAAAAAAAAUUGAAAGAUCCGAUUUCAGAAGUUUGGGUCAAUUUUCUGAUUUUGACCCGACCCAUUUACAUUUGUACUUCUCUUUUAAUAAUAUAGAGAUUUUUGUUUUUCGAAUAAGUUAACAUUUUUCUUAUGAACCUAUAAAACCAAAAAUACCAAACUGAAACUAAACCAAAACCUAUUUGAAAGUACAAUAAUUCGUGAACCAAAAGUACAUAACUUUGUAUGUAUUUUGUCAACAAAUAACAAUGCUUUAAGAAAAAUAUAAAACAUUAUUUUUUUCUUAAAAAGAAGUUCAAUAGUGUUCUCUGCAACAUGUAAGCAUAUAUACUUAUAUACUCCUUAGUUUUUUUUUUUUUAUAUUAUAUUUCUCUUUCUCUAAGUAUUGCGAUCAUCUAAUUACUUAAAAUCUCUCUCAUUUGAAUUCUUCUUCUGUUUUAGAUUCUAGGUCAAAACACUUGAUCCAAUAUCUUUGCGAUCUGUGCCUAAAUUAAGUUCUCUUUGAUAGAAAGUUUUCAACUUUUAAUUUUUUUUUUUAUUCGACGAAAAAACCUCCGGCGAUGGUUUUGUCGGCGAAACAAACCCUCCCUACGAAGAUCGGACUUUUCCGACGAAACCCUUCUUCCUCACUACGAAGAUCUCCUGUUUCUCUCUCGUUUCCAUCGACGGAGCUUCCAAAACGUACCGUUUUAGCCGUCUCAAAGCCGCUUCAUCUCUCUUCUCUGAGAGCUAAGUCUCCGGUAGUGAGAUGUGAAGCUUAUGAAGCUGACCGAUCAGAGCCUCAGCCGAUCGAUGAUGCUGCGGCGGCGGAAACGAAAUCAGAGGCGGCUAAGAAAUUGAAGAUCGGGAUUUACUUUGCUACUUGGUGGGCUUUGAACGUUGUGUUCAAUAUCUACAACAAGAAGGUCUUGAACGCUUAUCCUUACCCAUGGCUUACGUCGACGCUUUCUCUUGCCGCUGGUUCGUUGAUGAUGCUAAUCUCUUGGGCUGUUGGGAUCGUUGAGACUCCAAAGACUGAUUUUGAUUUCUGGAAAACUCUUUUUCCGGUAAGUGGGUUGGUGGGGAAACGAAGUUUGGUGGGUUGGUGAGAAAAUUUUGGGAAAAAAGGUUGAAACUUUAGGUUUGAUUUCGAUGUUUACGAUGAUGGGUAUUGAGGUUUAAGGUCAAAUUGAUGCAGAUCUUGCAGGAAUAUUUGUUGUUUUUUUGUUACUUGAGUGAUUUGCAUAGUUUUGUUUGCUUCCUAAGAAAAAACUUAUGGAGAGAGAAGAAAGUGAUGUUUUUUUGGCUGUGUUUGUGUUCAUAGGCUGCUGAAUUUUAAUAGCUAAAUUCUGAAAAUUCAAGUGUCAACAAAAUCAGCUUGUUAUUAUUUAGCUUCUAGUAAAUCAUUCUUGUUUAAAGUAUUGAACUUUUUGAUAUUUUGUUGUAGUAAAAGUGGUUUUUGUUUGAGUGUGUAUAGGUUGCUGUGGCACAUACAAUUGGUCAUGUGGCUGCAACGGUGAGUAUGUCAAAGGUUGCGGUUUCGUUCACUCACAUCAUCAAGAGUGGUGAACCAGCGUUUAGCGUGCUUGUCUCGAGGUUCCUUUUGGGUGAAACCUUCCCUACUUCGGUUUACUUGUCCCUCAUUCCAAUCAUCGGUGGUUGCGCUCUGUCUGCCCUUACCGAGCUUAACUUCAACAUGAUUGGUAACAUAUAUCUAUUGAUACGUUUGGUCAUGUAUCCUAUGCUUUUUCUUAAUCUUUUUUGUUAGAUAUAUCAUAUAUUUGAUGCAUUGAUGUGUAAUUGCGACUGAUUUGAAAUGGCUUUGCAUGUUUGAUAUUGGCUUUAAAUCUGCAAUCCUGCUUUUCAGGUUUUAUGGGAGCUAUGAUUUCGAACUUGGCUUUCGUCUUCCGUAACAUCUUCUCGAAGAAGGGAAUGAAGGGAAAGUCUGUGAGCGGAAUGAACUACUACGCCUGUCUCUCAAUGUUGUCCCUAUUGAUCCUCACUCCCUUUGCGAUUGCGGUUGAAGGACCUCAGAUGUGGGUCGAUGGCUGGCAAACGGCGCUCGCUACUGUCGGACCACAGUUUGUCUGGUAAUUUCCCUCUACAAUCUCUUACGAAAAGACAACUCUUUUAAACUCGAAAGAUAGUUUUGUUACGUGUUUAAUGCAUACUUGUCCUGUUCCUAGAAUCCAUUGUGAAUGACCCACUUGUUAAGUUCUUGUCUUUAGCUCUCAAAUUUUUUGUUAUCAUCCAAAUGAUUAACAAUCCUGGAGUCUUUUUAGUGAUUAGGCCAAUGAAUCCAUCUCAUUCGCUUAUCCGAUUCCACUUUUUCUUCAAUCAAAUUUGCAGGUGGGUGGCUGCGCAGAGUGUGUUCUAUCACCUCUACAACCAAGUGUCUUACAUGUCUUUAGACCAAAUCUCUCCCUUGACAUUUAGUGUUGGUAACACCAUGAAACGUAUAUCUGUCAUUGUCUCAUCCAUCAUUAUCUUCCGCACUCCAGUCCAGCCCGUUAACGCCCUUGGAGCCGCCAUUGCUAUCCUUGGAACCUUCUUGUAUUCCCAGGUAAACACAACCUUAUAUUGACCAAAAUAUCCUUAUUAUCGAAAUGAUAAAUGAUAAAUAAGUCUUUGGCUUCAAUUCACACCCACAUGAUGAGACUUAAGUCACAUAACGCUAUCUUCUUCCACAUUAUCAAGAAACCGUCUUUAGUUUAUUGGUUUGGUGUAAUGCCGCACUAAUAAUUCAAGAAUCAAGAUUCUUGAUUCGGCGUUUAAUGUUUCGUUAUCCUGGUUUGCGCGUGAUGUGCAGGCAAAGCUCUGAUUCGGAAGACAGAAGGGUGUCCGGGUCUGGUGUUGAGCUCGUGAUUUCGGUUAAAACCGGGAAAAGAGCUUAAUGUAGAUAUUUGUCCUCAAUAAUGAAAGAAAUGAUGAGAAUGGACACUCACACUACAGUGUUUAGAGUGUGUUAGGCAGUUUUUAAUUUGAGUUUUUUUUUUUUUUAAUUUGGGGGAAGUGAGAAGAUUGCCUCUUUGUAACUAAAGUGGGAAAUAGAUAUUUGUCCCCUUUGAGAAUAAGACACCCUGAAACUCUCUUUUCAACUAGGAGAGAAAUAUUACUAAAAAGUGAGAAUAUUAUCUCGAGAUUAUUCUGCUUUGCUGUCAUAAAGAGAGAAAUCAGUACAUUUUCUUUUAACUUUCAUGCUCUAGUUAUGUCGGAAAAAGCUGAUGUCGAAGUUAUAUCUUGGAGAGUAAUGGAGAGUAUUCUAUUGACAAAAAGAAACCACCGACACCGAGACAAAAGUAAUGCUAAUGCAUGGACACGGAGGGAGGCAUUAGAUUUGGUUCAGACUCGGAAAAGAGAGAGACAUGUCUCUUGGGAUUUCAGAAGAGGCAGAGAGAUAUGUUUGGUGAAGAAUAUACUCAAACAAGAUUCUCUCUCUAUUGCUUAUAUUAUUAUUUUCAUACAUCAAAGUCACCACUUCUCUUUUUUCUUAAAUCUUAAGGGGAACAUGACUUUGGCAGAUGCUAUAUGAGUAUAUGCGAAUAUAUGUCUUCUAGCAAUUGGACCUCUUUCCAAUGUUAACAUCUAUUAUGAAAUUAAAGAAGCUGUAGUAGAGUUCUGAGAUAAUAUUCCAUGUUUGUAUCUGCAAAAGUAGGAUUUCAUUUUGAAAACCAAAAAGAAAGCAAAUUGAGAAACGAAACAUUCGAGCUCUUUCAAGAAUAUGAAAUGUUUUUUUUAUUCAUGAUACAUUUAUUCAAGUUUUGCUCUCUUCGUAAUCUUUUUCUAUUUCCAAUUUUGUUGGAAACGUCGUGACCAGAGAGAAGCAAAGUACUUAACAGAUUACAAGUACAAAAAGGAUUUCAUUGUCUUGAAUAACUGAAAAAACAAACAUAAGUGUUUCUCUUUCAAACAUCAAGAUAUUUAGCCACUGUCUGAACAUCUUUAUCUCCUCUUCCGCUGAAGUUCAAUACUACUCUCGUUCCGUCCGAUAAUGUGGGACACAGCUUCUCGAGGUAAGCUAGUGCGUGUGAGGUCUCCAGCGCUGGAAUGAUUCCUUCUAACCGCGACACUCUCUUGAACGCUACAGACCACAAAUCAAAGGGAAUGCAAAGGGUAAGCUAUGAAACAAAGAACAGAUUUCCGAAUACAGAACUAAAGACUAUGCAUUGGUACAUUACCUUCCAACGCUUCUUCGUCGGUUAUGCUAUAGUAUUCAGCCCGUCCCAUGUCUUUAAAAAAACUAUGCUCGGGUCCGACUCCAGGGUAGUCCAAUCUGUAAGAGAAAAUCAAACCGUGUUCAUGCGCAACCAUGGCUAAUUGAGUAGACUAUUCGGUAAUCUACAUUCAAACAUAUGAAUAAGAAUGUUGUGAUGGGCUUAAUCCCCACGAAACAGCCCGCCAUGGAUCAAUCAACCUGCAGCCUGGCCAGGCCAAGACCCAUCAAUUUCCUUUAUAUUAAUUGGGUUAACCACGGGCCAAAUCAGAGCUGGGCUUAGUAUGGACCAAGCUGGGCUAGCUCAUCACAACAUCUCUACUUAUGAUAGCUAUGUCCCACAUUACCGAAUAGAGAAUUUCACUUACCCUGCACUAAUUGAGUGUGGUUCAAUGAUUUGUCCAUCAUCAUCUUGCAGCAAGUAACUCAUAGCUCCAUGGAGAACACCGACAUCUCCCUUUGUCAAUGUAGCAGCGUGUUUGCCACUGUCCAAUCCGAAUCCCGCUGCUUCCACACCGAUCAUCCGGACCUCUGUGUCAUUUACAAAUUCAUGGAAGAGUCCCAUAGCGUUUGAACCACCACCGACACAAGCCACCAAGACAUCUGGCUUCCCGCCCCAUUUCUCCAACGCUUGUCUCCUUGUUUCUUUACCAAUCACAGCGUGAAAGUCUCUGACCAUCAUGGGGUAAGGAUGAGGACCCGCCACAGAUCCCAAUAUGUAAUGGGUAGUCUCCACAUUUGUCACCCAAUCUCUUAUCGCUUCAGAUGUUGCAUCUUUCAAUGUUGCUGUUCCAGAGUGAACUCCUCUCACCUAUAACACCAGAAACCCCGAAAAAAAGUUCAGAAACAAAGUUUUAUCACAUUUAAAAGAGAUGGAGAUGAAUCUUAAGCAUCACCUCGGCACCAAGAAGUCGCAUUCUGAACACAUUGAGUGCUUGUCUCUCCAUAUCUUGAGCACCCAUAUAGAUAAUACACUCAAGACCAAAACGGGCACACACAGUGGCUGUAGCCACACCAUGUUGACCCGCUCCUGUCUCAGCAAUAAUUCUCUUCUUCCCCAACCGCUUGGCGAGAAGAGCCUGAGCCACAGCGUUGUUAAUCUUGUGAGCACCUGUGUGGUUCAGGUCUUCCCUCUUCAAAUAUAUAAGCGGCCCUUCGCCAUUCUCGCGCCGGUAAUGCUCCGUAAGCCUCUCUGCAAAAUACAGAGGACUUUCCCUACCCACAUAGUCUUUCAAGAUCCCUGCCAACUCCCUCUAUCAAAGAUUCAUUGACAAAACACACAGAAAACAUAAAUCAGACAUUGAACCAGAGAAACCAAACCAAAACAAGAUUCCAAAUUUCAUUUCUCUCUGUUUCCCAUAAUCUCUAACCAUUCCAUCUAUGAACAGAACCAAUUUCAUUCAAAUGCCCUAGAAUUUACAUUUCCCAUCAACAAGAUCCAAACUUUAUCUCAAUCUGCAAAUGAUAACGCUAUAAUUCCAACGACCCACAACGCAAAAGGUUUCAUUUCUAUCGAAAUCACGAAGAACAAGGUCUACCUGGAAAUCAUCGUCGGUGGCGAGAGCAUAGAAAGCCGAUUCGAGCUCAGAGAGCGCGUGCAUAAGAGUCUCAGGUACAUACUUCCCACCAAACUUCCCAAACCGACCGAACGAAUCGGGUCGUUGCCACAGGGUCGGGUCAGAUCCGGCGGUCAUGAGAACAGGCGGGUCUUUGGCGAUAGUGCAGGUGACGGAGAAGGAUGACUUGGAGCGAGACGAUGGCAGAGGCGUAAAUUUGAGAGCUUUGAAGGGUGAUGAUCUCAAAUGGGUCAAUUGGGAAGAAGAAGAAGAAGGAGCAGAAGAAACGGAGGCUCUGAAAGUAGCAGCGGUGCCUGAGGCUGCCAUUACUGAAUGAAUCUCUCUGAGUCAAAUAUAUUAUUCUUCUCCUUCAAAUAUCCUUUCAAAGUAAAUCUGUUUUUAUAGAUAGAUUUUUUUUUUCUUUCAAAAAGAAUUGGUCAAAAUUCUGACCACAAAAUUCAUAUUAAACUAUUGUUGAGCUAAAUAUUUGUAAUAUCCUAAAUCUGCGUUGAUAAAUUUGGUUAUUUGUAAAAAAAAAUACUAAAAUUUAAUAUAGAAAAUCACAAAUAUUUAAAUUUGAAUUUUUAGAUAUCUACGUAUAUCUUUUUGGAGAUGUAUAAGCAGACACAUGUAAGCAGACCAAGAGAAAAAAAAAGAAAAAAAAAAGAGAAGGUUGGUAGGACUAGGAAAGUGGGAUAUAGUAAUAUAACACAUGGUUUUGAAAAACAUAUUCAAUUGAGCCAUCAUCACCUACCAUUCUUUUUUUUUUUUUCAUGAAAAACUAGGAUCGGACCCGCGGUCCACCGCGGGAGAAUAUUGAUUUACAUACGUUGAUUUUAAUAUUGUGCGUGUUUUUAGUAGAACGAAUCGUUUAGUGUACUUAUAAAUAUUCUUAAUAACAAAUUGUAAAAAAAAUAUUAAAUUGUUUAUAAUUAAACCAAUCAUAUUAAUUAUGAUUUACAAAAUAGAAUUUUGUGUUUUAGAAUUCAAAAAUUAGACGAAUCAUGGGAAUUAAAGCAGUCAAAAUAGGUCAAAAACCGCGGGUCGAACCCAAAUCAUCUCACUAUUGGGCAGAUUUGGGAAAAUAUAUUAAAUCCGCAAAUAAGCGGGCCACAUGGAUUGAUUUGCAGUGGGUCAUCGCUUUUCAUCCGCGGGUUGGCGGAUCAACCCGCAUGAUAGUAUUUAUUGAUAAAAAUAUAAUUUAUUCAACAUGUGGUAGUUUAAAAAACUUUUAAUAAAUGAAAUUAUAAUAUUUAUAAAUAUAAUGAUAUAAAAGAUUAUUAUCUCUAAAUUUUUUCUAAUUUAUUUAUUUUAGUAGAAUUUAAAAUUUUGGUUACUCUAAAAUUGUUUAAACAAAAUCCACGGAUAACCCCGUAAAUCAGCAUACAUUCGCGCGACGGGUUUGUGUUUCAUAUAUGCUACCCGCGGGUCGUGCGGACAGACUAACUACAUGGCAAAAUAUAUUUUGCCUAUUGCAAAACAGGCUCAACGGGAUGAAUCAACUCGUUUUGACAGUUCUAAUGGAAAUAUUAUUUAGUCAUACAACACAAUGGAGUUUGGACAUAUGAAUAAUAGAAUAUGUAUCUUAUUUGUUAUAUGAGAGAUUGAAAGGUGAAAUAUAAUGAUUAAAAAUAAUUAAUAUUUUUCAUGAUUCGCAAAAUUUAAUAAAUAUUUAUCAUCUUGUUGAAUAAUUCUAAAAAUCAUAUUCAAGACAUCUUUAUAAUUUGAAAAUUAAACUUCUUUGGUAAGCUAUAAGUAUGAAAAUACCAUAAUUUCGAUUUAAUCUAAUUAAAUUAAAAUUAGUUACAUAGAUUUUAUAUCUAUUUAAUUUAUAUGACCAAAAUAAAAAAAUCUAUUUAAUUUAUAAAAUAGAUGGGUUAGUUGUGAUAAAUUUUCUAGAAAUCUCUAGAAGCAAGUAAGAUAUCUUUUAAUUAAUGAUAACUGCUAAAAUAAGCAAAAUUAAUGAGAAAAACGUUGACUAUUAUGGAAUUAGUUCCAAAAAUAUAUGAACAAAUAUAUUAUACGUAAUUAAUGUAUAAUAUUGUUCAAAAUAUGAUUUUAUAAUUAGUUACCAUAAGUACAAUCAAAUUUUAUUUGAUUUCCAUAAACAUUUGAUUUUAGUUCGAUUUUUCAUUAUUAAUUCGAAUUUAUAUUCCAAAAUUUUCAAAGAUCCAAUUUCAGAAUUUCGGGUCAAUUUUCUGAUUUUGACCCGACCCAUUUAUAUUUGUACUUCUCUUUUAAUAGUAUAGAGAUACACUAGCAAGUAGCAAGAGUUGAAAACUCUUCUAGUUAUAAGGCCGACAGAACGGACAACGAAAAAUCUCAAGAAACUAAAUCCUAAAACAUAGAGUUUAUAAUCCACAAAACGUAGAAAACAACAGUGUUCCACCGAAUGUGUGACUGAUGGAUCCGUCUAGUAAAUUACUCAUCUUUUUUCCUUCUAACAAUUACUUUGUUCAUUAUUUUUGCUGUAAUUUUAAAUCCUUUUCAAUUAUUUUACAUAAAAACACCUUUAAAAAUUCAAAGACUCGAUCUAUAAUCUUUCAUAGUCUAUCCAUCUCUUCUUUUGAAAUUUGUGUUUUGUGGAAACGUGGAUUUAGAAUAAGGGAAAACUAAACAAUUUUUUUUUAUAUUAAACGUAUACUUAGAAUCAGGGUCGGUCAUAAGCCUAGUAAAAUAAAACAUGGGUUUAGAGCUCCCAAAAAUUUCACCAAAAAUUUCAUAUUUUUUUACCCCCACCCCCGGGAGUUUAAUUUGUUUUGCAAAAAAAGUCUCUAAUUUAAGAGACUAUUUAAAAACCUUCAAAAUUUCAAGGUUGGCUAGGUUUAGAAUUACAAUAUUAUUUAAAAAAUAAUUAGAUAAACACAUUGUUUUAUGUAUUUAGUUCGAUUUAAAACUGAACUGAACCGAACUAUUCGGGUUGAUAAAAGCUUAACCAAACAGUUUGUACAUUGAUUAUGGUUCGAUUUUGGAUCAUUUUAGGUUUAGUUGGUUUGGUUCAGUUAAAAUGCAUGCCUUAAUCUCUCGGUCAAUAUAUUCCUCUUCCUUAACAUAUCCGUCAAAGUAAAGGAUUUAAUAAGCUUCUUAAAAAAAAAUGUUUGGUCAAAUUCUUGACCACAAACAUAUAGUCAAAACAUAUUACGUUAAUAUAAUACCAAAUAAGUUGGUAGGCUUGAACGCAGUAUUAGCAAACCUGGAAUAUUUUUUUAGUAUAUAUAUUAUUCAUUUCUAAGAACUCAAACAGGUAAAAGAAAAAUGUUAAAAACAGAAUCGAGAUCCCUGACCUAUCUAUUUCAUAUUUUUCCUUUGUAGGUAGCUAGCAACAUUCUUCUUGUUUUACUCACUCUUCUUUUUCUUAUUUUUAGAUUAGUAAAAGUUUCAGGAAUUGCGAUUCGAAGCUUUUGUUGUUGGUGAAGUUUUAGCGAAAGCAUUUUUGACAAGGCUAAAUAUGUAACACUUCUUGUCUGUGUGGUAGGGAAGAGUAUUACAUGCAUCCAAAGAAGUUUAUGCGAAUUAGGGUCCUCAAUAAUUUCUCGAAUUUGGUGACACUUUCUUUUGAUAUUCUUCCUCCAAACUCUUUCAAAACAAGAAAUUUACUAUAUAUGAAAUAAGAAUAGUCACAUUACUAUUAUGGAUUUUAUCAUUUUAUUAGUAGUAAAUCUCAUCAUUUUCAUUUGAUAUUUUGUAAACGACUUUGUUGUAUGCUGGCAUUGAUCUAUGAACAUAUUGAAUGCAGAACAUAAUACAUAAGUGUUUGAAGGUUAUGUUCUGCAUCCAAUAUGUUUGAGGAUCGAUGCAAGAAUAUGACAAAGUCGUCUACAAAAUACUGGAUAAAAAUUAUGUGUUUUAUUAUUAAAAAAGAAAAUGAUUACUCUCUAUUGCAUAUAUAGAAAUCUUACCGGUGAAAGAUGUGGAGGAAGAAUAUCGAAAGUUAGAGUCUCCAAAUUUGGGCAAUUAUUGAGAAGAAUCCUAAUUCUAUUAAACUUCUUGGUAUAUUUUGUUUUCACGGGAUGAAAUUAAAGGAAUAUUUUUGAAAUCUUAGUUGCUAGAAAACCGUUAAGAAAUUAAGAAUUUUAACGUUUAUUUGAGAUGAUUGACUUAAUUUAUCAUAUUUCUUCUCUAACUCGAAGUUCUCGAGGACUAGUUCUCAUAGUCAUAACUCAUAACUGCCUGGCUAUCCACAUGAUAUCAAGGCCAACAUUGUUUGAUAUUUAGAGACUCUGGAGCGAAGGAGAUAUUUUUUUUUUGUUCGUGCAUAUAGUAACAUAUUAUAUCAUUUUUGAUGUAUAUACAGCAAUACAUAUUUUUUUUAGCAAUACAUAUAUAUUUUUAGUUAGCAUGUAUAUAGUAUAUAAUGUGUUUUAGUUCGUGAAGCUAAUAAUAUUUUUAAUUGUUUCGAAAGAAAUAUCAUCUUUUAUUAUUAUUUUGAUGUUAUAUAAACUUGCAAUAUUUUACAUCCAUUGCAUAGACAAACGAACAAAAUUAUCGAAGAUAAAAUCCCCCCUUACAAAUUCCAUUCCUUAAAAAGGUAAAAUAUCCUGCAAAUUAAGGGAUUUCCUAGAUUCCCUUUGUAAUAUUAAAGUUGGUCAAAUUUCUGACCACAAAAAUGUAUAAUCAAUUAAAAUGCAUCUUAGGUUAAUAAUAAUACCAAAUAAAAGCCUAUUUCAAAAAAAAAAAAAAUCCAAAUAAGUUAGCCAAAUUAAGACUUUUACUUGUAAAAGACUUUAAACUUUUAAGUUGGGAUAUGAUUUUAACCAAAUAAGGUUCUUACUUAACAAAUAAUUUGUUUGCUCUAUAACUCGGAAAAUGAGAGAGGAUUUUAAGACAUGGUUUUGAAAUACAUAACCAUGGGAGCCCAUAGCCAUCACCUACUCUUAUCGUUUACACUAGCAUAUUCAUUUACCUAAAUAUUUCUUCCCUUCUAAAACAUUUCCCAAAUUCACCCUCUGACUUUGACUCAUCAGAUUUAUAAAAUUACAAAUUGAUUAAGAAAAACUUUCAAUAAUCUUCGAGAAAUAAACAAAAAAUCCUGAGAAGUUGAACAGGCAGAACCACAAGAGGACAAAGUUUCAGGUGCGUCAGUUGUUCUUAUAUUUAAGAAAUGAUUGCAUUUUUAAAUCAAUAGAUUCAGACAUGUUUUUAGAAAUGAAAUGACUUCACUGACGAUUUUCAUUUGAUCCAUUGCAUGAUUUUCAUUGAAAGAGAUGACUUCUAAGAGAAUAGUUUCAAGUAUCCAAUCAGACAGAUUAUCGAAUCUACCCGAUACACUUCUGAUUAUUAUCAUCUCUUCCUUGUCCUUCAAGGAAUGUUUAAGUACCAGUGUACUCUCUACGAGGUGGAGUUACCUCUGUCGAGAGACAAGAAACAUUGCAUUUAAUGAAUCCGAGUAUGUCGACCACUCUGUAUCCGACAAAAAAUCCAAAAGGCUUUCGUUUGUUGGCUAUAUGAGUCAAUGGAUCUCUAGAUAUCAUGGUCGUUACAUCGAAAGCUUCGAGAUUUGUUUCUCCCUUCCAUUAGGCUUUAUGGCAGAGAUCGAGUCUUUGAUCGAAUUUGCAGUGUCAAGACAAGUCAAGAACCUGGUUAUUGAUUUCAAAGACCCUUCUUGGACAAUCAAUAGCAGUGCGUCUUGGUAUGCCUAUCUUGCUGUGAAAUUGCCCGUAUGCGUUUACAGUCUAACAACCCUCGAAUCACUGAAGAUUUACGCGUGCGGGUUUGAUCCUUCGAAAUUCACAAACUCGGGAUUGCCUAGAAAGCUCUCUAUUGGUUGGAUCAACUUCACAGAGGCCGAGUCUUUGUUAUCAAACUCUCCUACGCUCAAAAGUCUAAGUAUUGAUUACUGUUGGAGUGUUGAUAUCAAAAACAUAGCCGGAGAUAUGAAAGAAGUUGUAUUCGAUAACUCCGACUUCUUCCCUAAAAAGGCUUGUUCCUUUGACCUGCCUAAUGUAGAGAUCUUCAAGUACUCAGGCUCAGUUCUCUCCUUCGAUGUCAAGGGAAUGAAUAGGAUAAUAAAAGAAGUCUACUUGGACUUCUUCUGCGCAGAGGGCGAAUACGAUAAACCGAAUCGAAGAACAAAAUUAGAUGGAACAGAUCUUUCUGGCUUCCUUAACAGUUUUCGAGGUGCGAGGACCUUAAGUGUCUGCCCUUAUCUCCUUCAGGUAUAUUGAAGUCUUAACAUAAAUUUACAUUACAUUUUAACGUUAUUAACAUAUCUUUGAGAACUGAACAAAGUGUUUCUACGUCCUACGGUAUGAAACUUUUCAGUAGCCUAGUGACUAUAAAGUAAAUGGUUUAGUUAUGUAGUUUCCUUAUCUAAUACCUUAAAGCGAUCACAUUAAAUUUGAUAUGUAUAUAAGACUGUUAGACAAAUUAGUCUUGAUCGGAAUAUGUGUGUUUUUUUUCUUUUUGAAGUCUAUCCAAGAAUGUGAAGAUCCGUCAAGUUUACUUCGUCCUAUGGAUACAGAGCAUUUGGUGCUGAGAAUGAGGAUGCAUGUCAUGGAGUUUAAGGGGAUUAAGCUCCUUCUUGAUAAUUGCCCGAACCUAGAAACACUAACUUUCGAUAUCAUCCGUCGAAGCAAGUUCUCGGUAAGAUUAUAUACUUAUAUAGUAUUGAAUAUAGAUUAAUAGUCACAUUAUUGUGUAUGAUUUUUUUCUAAAGCUCAUCGUUUAUUUUGCAGUACACUAAGUCAUAUUGUGGCAUCUGUCCAAAAACAUGUUGGCAAAAUAGCCUUACCUACAAGUCUCUUCCUAAGACACUUAAAGUGGUAGUGGUAAGGAAUUAUAGUGGUCACUUUAAUGAGCUAAAUGUAUUGAAGUUUUUGAUUCAGUCCAGACGUGGGCAUGCGGAUGGGUCUAUGUUGGAAAGAGUGGAGCUUUACAUGCAUAAUAGUAUGGAGGAAAGUCAAAGGAUGUUGGCACAUGAGGAAGCCGAGAUGUUACAGAGUAUUUCAGGGGCUGUACAGGUUCUUGUACACAACCUUUGAAAAGUUGGCAUAUUCAAGACUUCUCAUUAGUGUGUUUUGUUUGAACCAUUUAGUGAUGUUUUCUUUUGCUUUGAUUUAUGAAUAAUGAGGACUUGGUCAUCUUUUUGAAACAUUAUAUAAUAUUUGUUUUUAUAUAUUUAAUAAUUUUCUUUGAUUUUUGAAAACUAAAAUAUUGUUUUAGGGCUAACAAAACUAGACACCAAAACUGAACUAAACCGGUUUAAAAGUAAUCAAACUAAAACAUAGGAAGAGGAGUCACUAGUUAAGUCUGAACCAAACACUAUAUCUUCGAAGAUGAGUCGUGACGAUGUGGCAAACAAAUCUAUAAGAUGAGUUCAAAUAUUUUCCAUUUCUAUCAUCGACUUUUGCAUCAACCAAACCUAUGUUUCUGUAUAAAUUUACAGUUGUUUCUCACUGUCAAAUACUAAUUUAUAGUAGAUUAUCUUCCUUUUUUUGAGUAACUUUCUAUGUCACAUGUGGAAGUUUUAUUCAACACGUCUCUCUCCGUUUACUAGGUUAAAAAACUUCCAUAUGAAACCAAAAAAUCACGAAAUUUAUUCAAAAGAAUAUAUAGAGGAGCCAAUUAACAUUCUCUGUCACUUGAGCAUAUCACAAUUCACAAACAUAUCUCUUCUUUCGAAACUCACCACAUUUCUCUUACAAUGGAUUCAAUUCAACAAGACAGAUUAUCAAGUCUUCCCGACGUUCUUUUAAUUGUGAUCAUCUCUUUCUUGCCGUUUAAGGAAUGCGUAAGAACCAGUGCUCUCUCCAGGAGGUGGAGGUAUCUCUGUCAGGAGACCAGAAACCUUUCUUUUAGGGAAUCUGAUUUCGUGAGUCCUUAUAUCACUGGUGAAUAUUCGAGAUUUGCAGCUUGUGCUUCAUUUUUUAGUUUUGCGGAUAAUUGGCUCUCUAGAAUUCAAGAUCAGGUCGUCGAAAGCUUCGAGAUUUGUUUCUCCAAUCCGGUGGGUUUCGAGCAUAAGAUCGAGGCUCUGAUCGAAUACGCUGUCUCCAAACGAGUGAAGAAUCUAGUCAUUGAUUUGUCAAACCCCGCUUGGAGAAACUAUAAUGAUAUAUCAUCAGUCUGUGUAUCAUAUCUUCAUUUUAUCGUUACAUUGCCCAAAAGCGUUUACAGUCUAACAACCCUUGAGUCACUGAAGAUCUACGGGUGCAAGUUUGAUCCUUCGAGAUUCACAAACCCGGUAUUGCUAAGAAGACUCUCUAUUGGUUGGAUGAGACUUGAAAACCUCCAAUCUUUACUAUCAAAAGCUACUUCCCUCCUGAGUCUAAGUAUCAAAGAAUGCUGGGGCGUUGAUAUGACGUGGAUGGCCGGGCAGUUUAGAGAGCUAGUCCUUGAGAAUUUAGACUUCAGUUACAUGCAAUGUUCCUUUGAACUGCCUCGUAUACACAGCUUAAAGUACUCAGGCCAAGUUUUUGACUUUUACUUCGACAUCAUGAAUGUGAUCAUACCAAAGGUCUACUUGGAUUUUGGAGAAGAGCGUGAGUAUGAUCAACCGACUCAGUCGACAAGAAUAUCUGGUGAAGUUAUAUCUCGUAUCCUCAACGAUCUCAGAGCAGCUAGCACCUUAGCCGUUUGCCCUUAUAUCCUCCAGGUAUGUUUAAGUGUUCACAUCUUAAAAUUAAUAUUUGAAUUCUUUUAUAGUAGUAGUUUGUUGAAAACCAGAAUAGAAUUUACCAGGUUAAAUAUGUGCAUUAGUUUUUAGAUCUGAACAUAGGUUUAUCCAAAUAACAUUUUUGCAUCUGAACAAAUUAUUUCCCUCACGUUAUUUAGUUUAUUAAAGUCAUUUUGAAGAAGAUGAUUUAUUUGAACCAUUUAUUCCCUAAUAGUAUAUAUAUAUAUAUAGAUCGUUAUUAAUGUAUUUUUGAUAUUGACAUGUGUUUCUUUUCUUAUGGAAGACAAUCCGAGAAUGUAAAAAGCCAUUUUAUAUGCUUCAACCUAUGGAAACACGACACUUGGUGCUAAGAACGAAGAUGAGUACGAAGGAGUUGAAUGGAAUCAUUAUUCUUCUCAAGAACUGUCCAAACUUGGAGACUCUAAGUUUUGAGAUUCUUCCUUCACGUCCUUUCCAGGUAAGAUAUCUAUACAUAUAUGCAACAGAGUAGUCACAUUUAUUAAUACUUACAUGCAUGAUUUUCAUUUAUUAUUUUGUAGAGAAAUUCGUCAUAUGAAGGGAUCGAUCCGAAAACGUUUUGGAUGCAGAACAGAACAUGUGAGAGUCUAAGGAAGACACUGAAGGUCGUGGUGGUAAGGGACUUUGGUGGUUCCUCAAACGAGUUAAAUGUAUUGAGGUAUUUGAUUCGAUUAGCGAGCGGGGGUGGAAAUGCAUUGGAAAGGGUAGAGCUUUAUGUGCCGAAUGGGAUGGAAGAAAGUCAAGCGAUGGUGGUAUUUGCGAAAGCGGAGAUGUUACAGAGAACUUCGAAGCAUGUACAAGUUCUUUGUGCACAACUCUUGGAAAAUUGACCUUUUCAAGAGAUUGUUCACUAGUGGGUUUUGUUUGCCCAUUUAGCUAUGGUUUUUGAAUUUUUAUUUAUUGACAUUAAAGGAAGCAGGCUUCCGAAGUUUGGUUUGUUUGAUUUAUGUUUAAGAACCUCGGAGAAUUGAGAACUUUAUUUAUGUGAACCAAAAAUAAUAAUAAAUGUUUUGAGUAAUAUAUAUCAAUAUGAUAAUAAUAUUCUACAAUUUAAUCGCGUUUCGUUUAAACUACAGCAUUUAGUGAUCUAUACAUAAUACAUGAGUUUGGUGGACAACCACGUAUGUACUUCAUUAGAGAUCGAUCUGCCAAAACCCCGUCGAGUCGUCUGUACUGUUAUCAUCAUCGUCUAGUAGUCCUAAGUGUUUCCAAGCAGCUCUGACCAAGCGAGGGAUUGGAGGACGUAACAUGGUUAUUCUACGCUGCUUGAUUUUAUACAUUGUUUGUACGUAGACAGGCUUGUAUCUAUAAUCCCACCACCAGACAAAACGUGACCUUACCAGCCGUCAAAUCCAACAUCUUUGGCCAAGAAGAAUUUAGUAAGAAUGUCCUCUACUUUUUCGGACACGAUCUUGUUCUUGAUCAAUACAAAGUAGUCUGCACUGUUGUGAUAUCCUCAAAAGAUAUUGAGAGGAUAACAUGAUCUGAGCAUUGGGUUUAUGUACUAGAAGCUGGAGGUUCGUGGAAAAGAAUUGAGUUUGAUCAACCUCACCUUCCUACAAGACAAGGAGUGUGCAUCAACGGAGUUAUAUAUUAUAUGGCUUCCACUGGUUUGUCUCCCCUAGCCAUUGCCAGUUUUGACGUUAGAUCUGAAGAGUUCAAUAUGUUCUCAUCAUGUAGGUAAGCUUGUGGGUUUUAUAGAGUAUGGUGGAAAGCCAGCUAUUAUUGACAGGGCCGGUCCAAAGUUUCAAAAUUUUCUUUGAUACCCUACGCAUAACUAAAAAUUUAGGCCUUUUUGUUAAUGUAAAAAAAAAAAAUUCUCCCAAAAAAAAUAUUUUAUAAUGUGAGACCCUAAGCGAUGGCUUCACUUGCUUGCCCUCCGGACCGGCUCUGAUUAUUGAUCAUACCCAUCUUAAUUAUAUGCAAAGGUUUGGUGGAUUUAUGGCUCUUUGAAUAUACUGGAAAAUGGUCAAGGAAAUCUCUGGUUUUGCAGCCUUAUUGUCAGGUGCAUUUUUUACUCGAUAACAACAUUAAUCUGACGGUGGAAGGUACACCACAAAACGGUGAGGUUAUCUUUGCAUAUAAACCUUUCCUUUACCACCCUUUUUACAUUUUCUAUUAUGAUCUGCAAAAAAACUAUUUGAAAAAGGUUAGAAUCGGAGGAAUACCAUUAUAUUGGUUUGGUAAGCAUUACACCAACUUGAAAUUUUAUUUCAAGCAUAUGGAAAAAACAGAAACAUCAUGCACUUGGAAAUUUGAAAGCCUCUGCUUUCAAGUUUUUCAACCUAAGAUUUUUUUUUUUGGUAAGAGAGGGGGAGACAAUGUCUCCCUAUUUAUUAAAAAUAAAAAAUUGACUACAAACGAACAUCCCGAGGCCGCGAGGACCCAAUAACAUCAUCUAGCACAAUCGGACGAACACAGUCCGGGCUAGCUACAAAAGAAUGAAAACCCAACGGAAGAGUAAACGCAUAGUUCGCUAAUCCAUCGGCAAGACGAUUAGCUUCCCUAUACACGUGACCAAUACGGACUAUCCAGUCCCUCGAAAUAAAGCCAUAGCACAAACGUACUAGGAAAGACAGCGGAUGAGAAUCACUUAUCCCUGUCUUCAAAAAACCGACCACAAUCUCAGAGUCUACUUCCAACUCCAAUCGCGUGAUGCCCUUCUCCCACGCAAUGUACAGACCGUAGUAAACUCCCCAAAGUUCCGCAAGCGGGGCGGAGCAUAUACCAAUAUUCAAAGCAAAGCCUCCCAACCAGUCCCCGUUUCCAUCCCGCAAGACUCCUCCCGCAGUCGCCAACCCCGGGUUACCUCUCGAUGCUCCGUCCGUGUUCAAUUUGGUCCAACCCCCUACUGGCGGAGUCCACGCUAUCAAUCUCGUCUCCCUCACGAUUGUGAUACCAUCCCCUGCCACGGCUUUAUGAGCCACAAAAAUCUCCUUUGCCAGAUCUUUUAAGAAUUGAACCCGAUCACGACAUUUACCCAUCCCGCCAUAGAUGUCCCCGCAGCGCCACUUCCACCCCCACCAAACAGCCACCGCAAACAAUGUAGCCCAAGAGUAACUAUCCCUCUCCGCACUAUCACCCAAAUUCUCGUAUAACCACUCAAGUAGAGAGGUAGCAAAAAAGGAUGUUUGCUUCCUUCUGGGAACAAGUCUUCUCCACACUCCAUCCAUUGACAAGCAGUCUCGCAACACAUGAAUUAUGGUCUCCUCUCCACUAUUACACACCGUACACAAACCCGAUGCACAGAGAUGACGGCGGGCUCGCUCCGAGUUUACCAUGAUUGCUUGGUUCAACACGAGCCAGAGAAAAGUUCGGACUCUCUCCGGAGCUUUUACUUUCCAAACCCGAUCAAAGAGUUUCCCCAAAUCCUGUCGCGGUGACUCGUCUCUAAUUAGCAAUGCGUACGCUGAUCUAACCGUGAACCUCCCAUCGGAAUUCUCACCCCACGAUGGUCUAUCUAUAGCUCCGGUGACAUUGUCAAGUACCACCGAGGUCAACUUCAGUCUCGUGCUCUCUGAGAUGUAUGGGCUGAGCUGAGAAAAAUUCCAACCCAUCCCGUUACUCCAUAAGUCACAAACCCGAGUCUCCUCAUACCCAUCUGGUAAAUUCCCGACCACCACUUCAGCUAGAGUCUUAUUCAUUAGCCACUUAUCUGUCCAGAAUCGAAUCUCCUUACCAUCUCCAAGGACCCAGCUUAUUCCUGGCAUCAAUCCUUCCCGUAUGCCCAUACUCACUCCUCGCCAGGUUGAAGACCAUAAGCUCUUCACCACCAGCCACGAUUUGUCAUGAAUCAGUCCCACCUUAUACUUGGACCGUAAUACCCGCGCCCACAAGCUCACCUUAUCAUUCAGUAACCUCCAUCCUACCUUAGCAAGUAGUGCUUUAUUCAUAUCCUGUGAGAUUCUUAUACCCAGCCCACCUUCAUGCUUUGGUAAACAGACCCAUUGCCAUGCUACAAGAUGUUGCUUCUUCUUCUCAUUUGUACUACCCCAUAAGAAGGAUCUUGACACCCGAUCAAGCGAGUCCAGUGUUGCUUUAGGCAGUGAAAUCGUGCUCAUCGAGUGAACCGGUAUCGAUGACAAUACAGAUUUCGUAAGCGUUAACCUCCCAGCAAAGCUUAGGAACCUUCCUUUCCAGCCAGACAACCGCGAGGAAACUUUUUCCAAUACUUCACCAAAAGUAUCCUUAUUGAUUCUUUUGUGUAACACCGGCAUUCCCAAAUACUUCCCCAAAUCACGAGUCGCUUUGAUGCCGCUUUCAUCACUAAUGAGCUUUGAUAGAUCCCGACUUACAUUCUCAGAAAAGAAGAUUUUCGAUUUCUCCAGGCUCACCUUCUGACCUGACGCAAAACAGAAUUUCUCCAAAACUUUCUUAAUCACACGAACUUGAGCCACCGAUGCUUCAGCGAAGAGAAUUAAAUCGUCUGCAAAGCAAAUAUGAGAUAAUUUUGGUCCUCCUCUAGAGAGACUAAUCGGCUUCCAGUCUUUCAAAUCAACCGCCAAUUCAAUCAAAUGACACAACCGUUCCAAGUAUAACACAAAAAGGUAUGGCGAUAAAGGAUCGCCUUGUCGCAGUCCCCUUUCCGGUUUGAACGGCUCAGUCUUCUCUCCAUUCCAUAAAACCGUCAUCGAGGGCCCCUCCACACAUUGCAUUAUCCAACGUCUCCAAUCCUCCGAAAACCCUGCCACCUUAAGUGUCUCAUCAAGAAAGUCCCAUCGAAUGCGGUUAUAGGCUUUCUCUAAGUCUAGUUUGAGGAGCAUCCAACCUUUCCUUCCUUUUUUGCGUCUCAUCGAGUGUAUCGCCUCUUGGACCACAACUAUAUUAUCGGUACUUAAUCGGCCCGGGAUGAAGCUCGCUUGGGCGGGACCAAUGAGUUUAGGCAUCACCGUCUUAAGUCUCAUAACCAUGACUUUAGUAAUAGUCUUAAAUAAGACAUUACAUAAGCUUAUCGGUCGAAACUGCGCCAACGUCUCCGGUUUAGCAACCUUAGCGAUCAACACCACUAGUGCAUCAUUAGUCUCAUCUGGCAAUACGCCUGUUCUGAAGAAAUCAAGCACAAAGCGUACCACUGACUGACCAACAACAUCCCAACAUUCAUGGUAAAACACCGGUUGAUACCCAUCCGGACCAGGUGCUUUAAAUCUUCCCAUACUACGGAUCGACUUCUCAACUUCUGUGGCUGACACUGACUUAUUCAACUCUGUGAUCUCUGCAUAUGAAAGCUUCGCAAAACCAGUUUGCAACAAACCCGCAGCAUUCAUAUCCACACCCUCCGUCGAAUAUAGCUUCUUAUAAAAUUCCAUCGCCAAGCCCUCUAGUUCCUGUGGAUUAGAGACCCAUCUACCCUCCUCAUCCUUUAACAUUUCAAUUCUGUUCUUUCUUCUCUUGAUUAUAGUCGAAGUGUGGAAAUAUUUGGUGUUGCGAUCACCCAACGCUACCCACUUCUCCCUAGAUUUUUGAUACCAAAGGAGCUCUUCUUGUUCCAGCACUACAUCAAUCUCCUUUGUUAACUCUUCCUCCUUACUCAAAAGAACAUCUGUUUGGUGUAAAUCCAAUUGAUCUUGAACAGCUUUAAUUUCCUGUAACAAGCUCUCCUUUUUUUUUAAUAUGUCUCCAAAGAUUUCUUUAUUCCACUUCUUCAGAUCCUCUUGUAAUCCUUUCAACGCAUCUGAUGUUGAUAUAUUGCCAUUCCAAGAGUUCAACAACAGCUCCUUGAAACCAACAUGACUCAACCAUGCCGCUUCGAACCGAAACGGUCUGCGUCUCGGGUUACCCUUCGUCUCCGGGGAGAGCUGAAGGAACAGAGGAGCGUGAUCAGAGGCAAGAAAAGGUAGAUGUGUGACGACAGCCUCUUGCCACUUCAGCCGUGAGUGUGGACAACACAAAACCCUGUCCAAGCGUUUGGCCACAAAAUUAUUUGCCGUUCGACCUCGUCGCCAAGUAAAUUUAUUCCCCUUAAAACCCAUAUCAAUAAGAGAUCCUUCAUUUAUCCACUCUCCAAAGGAUAGAGAAUCCGGUGUUAACCUCCCGUUGCCACCAGUUCUCUCGUCAAGCCGAACAAUUGUGUUAAAGUCUCCUCCAAUUAUGAGAGGUUCAUUCACACCUUGUAUCACCUCAUUUAAUUUUGCCCAAAGACCACUUCUUCUACUCACUGUCGGGGCUGCGUAUACGACUAUCAUAUGAAAAAUAUCUGUUCCAGUAUCCACCUUCGCAUGAAUAAAUUGAUCAGAAGUUUCUAUAAUCGAUAUACUCCCCAGGCUCGACCUCCACAAAAGCCAAAUUCCACCACUCUGUCCAACUGCAUCAACUCUGAAAGAGUUUUCAAAUCCCAAACCAUUGCAAAUGCGGCUUGCACGAUCUCCACCAGCGUGCGUCUCAAACAAAGCCAACAUAUCUGUAUGAUUUUUCUUUAAAAUGUAACGAAUCGAUCUUCGAAAAUUGGGUUUAUUCGCCCCCCGGCAAUUCCAUAGUAAGCAAUUCAUCAUUAAAAUGUAUAUUCGGUCGAGAACCACCGGGAAAAACCGUUAUGCACCCGUCUGUCCCUCCUUUCCAUCCGGAGGAUCACUCUGCACGACCAUAACCCCACUCCUCAAUUCUUCCUCUGAAACCAGCUGUGUACUCCGCCUCCAUCACUACAUUAGUUUUUCAACCUAAGAUUAUCAUUAUCUAAUUGUUUUUUGCCUUCAAUAAUACAAUGCUACUAUUUAAUUAUUUUGUAAUUUCUAUUCUACCAUGUUACAAACAAACAAUCGUUAGAUAUUAUUUCUCUCUUUUUUUUUUUUAUUAUAAUUGGAUUAGUUUAUCAAUAUGGAUGGGUUUUUGGGAAAACGAUGAUGAUUCAUGAGUUAUAUAUAAUUAGGCCAACAUUGUUAAUCGCUAAAGGUACAUGGUGUGAACUUCAAAUCACAGAACAAAUAUAGUAUACGAGGUAUGUUGAUCUAAUGCCGGAUAGAGUCUUUUGCUAGAGAGUUAGCAGCUUUCAAUCAAUUGCUUCUAUAUUGACCAUGUCAUGAUCAUAAUCGGAGCAAGAGUUGCCGUAUCGGAAUAGAGACUGGAUUUUGAGCCUGUGGAGACUGAAUUUUAACUAAUCACUAUGCAUGGUAUCUCAUCACUUUUAGCAGACAAAAAUAUUGAUAACUCCGACAAGAGAUGAUAACAAUAUAUGGUAUUGAUUUAUGUUUCACAAAUCGGGAGCAAUAUAAAAAAAAACUAAGAUAUAUAAAUAAAUACAAACGGAGACUUGUUGAAAUUUUUAUUUUUUGGGAAAAAGAUUGAAAGAUACAGAAUGACAAAUUUGCAUUAGCAUGUGUACGUGUAACGAAAAAGUAUAUUUUUGGUUAAAUUACCAUAUUUGUACUCGAAAUAGUUCAACAAUAAUAUAAAAUUAUACAUAAAAAUCACAUUAGUCAAUUUAAAUCUCAACUCAUAAGCGAAAUCACAUUCGCAAGAAAAAAACGAAACCUCUCUCAGAUUGAAAUCGAAAGCACGGAUUUUUCUUCAAAUCUGCAGGAUCCAUUCAUGAUUUCGAAGAUCUGUUUAUCAAUUCUCAGGUAAAUCUCCAGGAUCCAUUCAUGAUUCUCGUAUUGAUUCCGCUCUUAACCCAAGUUGGUUAAAAAUCUAGAGUUUUGAUCGGAAUUGUGAUUUUGAUUUCAGAUCAGAAGCUUCUACGAGUUGAUUAUAUGCUGUGUUUGCAGAUCUGGGUUUGGUUAUAUUUCUGAGUAAAUCUCUCACCCAACACCAUGUGUGAUCAAAGACCAAAUCUUUUAGGGUCUCUCGUGUUGUUGGGUUUCUUCAUCUUCUUUGUUAAUGGAGAAGAAUGCUCAAACUCGAGCUCUUUGAUUGGGCACGAGUCUGAGUUCAAGAUGUUGCAACACCAGCUUCGUGGGGUUUUCACUGUUGUUGAUGAUUGUUCGUUUAGGGUUUCUCGUUUCGAUAUGCUCUCUGGUUCUGAUGUUCAUUGGUGGGGUGCUAUGACUUCUGAUUUUGAUAAUAUGACUAAUGAUGGCUUUGUUAUCUCUGAUCAGAAGCUUAAUCAAACAUUCAAAAACGCAUCUUUUAUUGUUCGUUUGAUAGGUAAUGUUACUUGGGAUAAGUUAGGUGUCGUUUCUGUGUGGGACUUACCUACUGCUUCUGAUUUUGGGCAUGUUCUGCUUUUGAAUGCGACGGAAUCACCUCCUUCAGAGGGCAAUGAUGUUGCUCCAGGGAAAUCUAAUAACAGUGAGCCUUUUAAGGCUCCAACCAUGUUUGAUAAUUGUAAGAAACUUUCCGAUAAGUAUAGGCACAGGUGGAGCUUGAAUGCAGAGAAAGGUUAUGUUGAUAUUGGUCUAGAGGCUACUACUGGUUUAUUGAACUACAUGGCGUUUGGUUGGGCUAAACCGAAUUCUACAUCGAAUCUGAUGUUGAAUGCUGAUGUUGUGGUUACUGGGAUUAGAGAGGAUGGCUUCCCGUUUGCUGAUGAUUUUUAUAUCACGGAGUCUAGUGUGUGCUCUGUGAAGGAAGGUACAGCUACUGGGGUUUGUCCUGACACUGUGUAUGAAGAGGCAGAUUCAGUUGGUUCUUCGGUGAAUAACACAAAACUGGUUUACGGGCAUAGGAUAGAUGGAGUUUCGUUUGUUAGGUAUAGGAGACCGUUGAAUGAUAGUGAUAAUAAGUUUGAUUUUCCUGUGAAUUCAACUGAAAAUCUGACAGUUAUUUGGGCACUUGGGGUGAUAAAACCACCAGAUGUUAUUAAUCCUUACUAUCUUCCCGUGAAUCACGGCGGUGUGGAAUCAGAAAACUUUGGGCAUUUUUCGCUUAAUCUUUCGGAUCAUGUGGAUGAAUGUUUGGGACCAUUGGAUGCAGAAAACAAGUAUGAUCAAGAUGUGAUCAUUGCUGAUGCCCACGCACCUCUUGUUGUCACGGCCGGACCAUCUGUGCAUUAUCCAAACCCUCCAAAUCCUUCAAAGGUUCUGUAUAUUAACAAGAAAGAAGCGCCGGUACUGAAAGUGGAAAGAGGGGUUCCUGUUAAGUUUUCAAUAGAAGCAGGACAUGACGUUUCUUUCUACAUAACUUCAGAUUUUCUUGGUGGGAAUGCUUCUUUAAGGAACAGAACUGAGACAAUCUAUGCGGGUGGGCAAGAAACUCAUGGAGUACUGUCGAGUCCAUUGGAGCUGGUUUGGGCUCCUAAUAGAAAUACACCUGACCAACUGUAUUAUCACUCAAUUUUUCAAGAGAAAAUGGGUUGGAAGGUUCAGGUUGUUGACGGUGGACUUUCGGAUAUGUACAACAACAGUGUUAAUCUAGAUGAUCAGCAAGUUAAGUUCUUUUGGACCAUAGUAGGGGAUUCAAUAUCGAUUGCAGCUCGUGGUGAGAAGAAAAGUGGGUAUCUUGCAAUUGGUUUCGGUAGUGAAAUGACAAACAGUUAUGCUUAUGUUGGUUGGUUUGAUAGAAAUGGAACAGGGCAUGUAAAUACUUACUGGAUUGAUGGAGAAUCCGCUUCGGCUGUGCAUCCUACAACCGAAAAUAUGACAUACGUGAGAUGCAAAUCUGAAGAGGGAAUCAUCACACUGGAGUUUACCCGUCCCUUGAAACCGUCAUGCAGUCAUCGAGAUAGACCAGAAUGUAAGAAUAUGAUAGAUCCCACAACUCCUCUUAAAGUGAUAUGGGCAAUGGGUGCUAAAUGGACAGAUGGUCAGUUGACUGAGAGAAAUAUGCACUCGGUUACAAGUCAGAGACCUGUCCGUGUAAUGUUAACACGUGGAUCCGCAGAAGCAGAUCAAGAUCUAAGACCGGUCCUGGGGGUUCAUGGAUUUAUGAUGUUCCUUGCUUGGGGAAUUCUGCUUCCCGGUGGAAUAUUAUCUGCUAGAUACCUGAAACACAUAAAAGGCGAUGGCUGGUUCAAGAUUCAUAUGUAUCUUCAAUGUUCUGGUCUAGCCAUUGUCUUCCUCGGCCUCCUCUUCGCAGUAGCUGAGCUUAAUGGUUUCAGCUUCAGUUCAACCCACGUCAAGUUCGGUUUCACAGCUAUAGUUUUAGCUUGCGCUCAGCCCGUGAACGCUUGGCUAAGACCUGCGAAACCUGCUCAAGGAGAAUUAAUCUCUUCAAAGCGGUUAAUCUGGGAGUAUUCUCAUUCGAUCAUCGGUCAAUCAGCUGUUGUAAUUGGAGUUGUCGCGCUUUUCACGGGAAUGAAACAUCUAGGAGAAAGGAAUGGAACUGAAAACGUGGACGGGCUUAACUUGGCCCUCGGGUUAUGGGUCUUCCUCUGUGUGGUUACUGUUGCGUAUUUGGAGUACCGGGAACGAAGAAGAAGAAAAGCGAGGAAUCUAAGCAGAGGGAAUUGGGUUUUGGGGAAUGUUGAAGAAGAUGAUUCGAUUGAUCUAAUAGACUCAAGAGGAGGUUUCAGAGAUAAAGAUGAUGAAGAUGGAAAUGGAGGGAGGAUGGAAAUUCAGUUAGAGCCGUUGAAAUAAUAGUAUUUUUUUUGUUUAUCUUUUUUUGUUUCAUUACCGAACAAGAAAGAAAAAAAAACAAGAGGGAGUUUUGUCUUUUACUUAUAAAUGCAACGGUCGAUAUAUUGUAUCUAUGCAUUAGAAUUGUAUACUUUUGAGAAUUUGAAUUUUAUAUACUACACAAUCAGUUUUGAGUUAUUUUUUACUUGACACUUGAACGGUCUCUAAUAGUUGAUUUCGUCAGUGACUUAUUCCUCGACUAAUGCGUUUAAUUCCAGAACUCGAAGGAGGUAUGAUGAUAACGGUCGUUACUGUGUCGCCAGCGACAAGAGUAUGUGAAAAGAAUGUUGAUCAUGGGGAUAAAGACUUGUAACCAUUGUAAGGUAUCUCAAAUUCUUCAGUAUCAAGAGUAUGUGAAACAAUGAUUAUCUCAACUAUUUGUUUUAAAAAUUCAAAUUAUCCGUCCAAUAAAAACAACAACAUCCAAGCACAUCACUAAACUAUUGUCAUUAAAAUGAAAAUGCACAAAACUAACGUUAUUUUCAUUCAACUAUAUAUAUAUAUAUAUAUAUAUAUAUAUAUAUAUAUAUAUAUAUAUAUAUAUUUUAUCGACGAUUUUCAGUCGACUCUUUUUAAAAAACUUAUGUACAAAAAUGAUAAAUAAUUAAAGUAGACUAAAUUAGGAAUCGUAGUCGAUAAUGGGUUCACCUAAGGUCAAAUUUCUGUCAAUCUUCCAAGGCAAAUUAAAAAGUUUAGCCAAAAUGAAUUUGAAGAUCUUGUUCACAUUUAUGUUGUGUGUUGCACUUGAAAAGAACAAUGAUGCCUUCAUCACCUUCGCGUACGCUCUCGCCUAAUAUAUCAAAAUAUCAAAUAAAACCAAAAAAUAUAUUUUUAUAUGGAAAUGAAUUAUUCCAAAAAUCCAAAUGUCUAAAUCAUCAUGAAAACGUAGAAUAUGAAAAAGGGUCUUAAUUAGUUACGUGGUAUGAUUGGUAUACCUGAGUGACAAUGGUCCACUGAAGAUUGGGUGGGAGCCGAACAAAGUCAUCGAAUUUUGUUCCUAUUAGAAUCGGAAUUGCCGUCUGAUAAAAGAAAACACAAAUUUAUAAAACUACCUUUAAGAUAAAAGUAUUUUGUUGGAAUCAGAUUCUAAUGUUCAUAAAUAAUAGAUUUGUAUAAGACACUAUGCAUUGAUCAACUAAUAAGAAAAUUCGACCGUGCUAAACCCAAAAUAUGAACCACUUUUAUGUAAAAUACCGUAACGCCGACAAAAAAAAAAAAACAAGUUAUUGAAACUUUUAAAUGUUUUUUUUAACGAUGACAAAAAAACAUUAAAAUCCUUCUAAAGUUUUUAGUAUACAUUUUUUUUUUUACAAAACUCAAUCUAAAUCGAUAUUGAAAAUGUUUGGAACAACUCAAGUUAAAUUUGGUUUCUUUACUUACUAAAUUAAAAAAAUAAUAAUAAUAAACAAAAAAAAUUGCUUUAACGUACCUUGUUCCAUUUUCUUGCCUGGCUAUACCACCCGAAGACUCUGCAAAAAACAAAACAAAACAGAAAAUUACGAGUUUUCUUAAUAAAUAUCAUUUCAGCUAAAAAAAAUAGAAGAAUUAAAUUGAUGAAGAAAUUAAAAGAAAAAACCUGUUAAGAGUAGAUCGACUGGUUAGAUCAAACAUGAACAAGAUUGCUACUGCAUCUUUACAAGCAAUUGGUAUAUGAUCUUUUGAUCUCUUUUCAUCACCUACAAUCAUUUUCCAAUCUCCUAAUAAAUUAUUAACAAAGUACGUAAUUGCCAACACACUAAUUAAUCACCAAUCCAUAUUUUAAUUUGAUUAAUUAAAAUUUAAUUUGACUCACCUCCUACAUCCCAAAUGCUAAACGAAAUAGUAACUCCUUGAACAUAAAAAGUUUUGUCCAUCAAAUUCAAACCCGUCAUCUCCAAGAAACCUUGAUUCUCAUCUCCAACAUAUUUUAUCUUUCAAAAAAAAACAAAAACAUAUGAGAAUUAGUCAGUUAAUCUAAGUUAUACUAUAAUCAAACGGUAAUAAUUAAUACUUAACACAAGAAUUCAUACUUACUACAAAAGUAGUCUUCCCUGUUUGACAAUCGCCUAAUAGACUAAUCUUGAGACUAACCAAAUCCGAAUCCGAACCUGAACCAAACCUUCUAGUGGAAACAGUAUGUUCGGUCGCAGUGUCGUCGUCUCCGUCGAAGAUAUCACCGGCUGUUGAAGAAAUCCGGUGAACGAUUUGCCGGUAAAGAAUAGGUUUUUCGAUGAUACUUGAACAAGAAACGAUUUUUCUCCAUAAAAACCUAAAAAAAUCUCCAAAGAUUGAUACCCUCUCGAUGAUUCUCCAUUUUAUGUUCACGUGAACUAUUUUCCGGCAGAAAGGAGUUAACUUUCCGGCGAUCUCAUGGACUUUCUCAGCCAUUGAUGAAACAGAGAGAGAUAGAGAUGUGAUCUUUUGGCGUUCACAAGCUCACAUCUUCUUUUUGUCUUCCCUUUAUGUUUUUUUUUUUUUAAGUUGUCUCAUCGAUGUUACUGUGUAAAUUGGUAGUUAUCGGUUUAUAUGGAUUGGUAGUUGACCCGUCUUCUUAGGAAAUACCUAUAUUACCCCUAGUUGAUGCGUUUAUUCCUUUCGGUUUUAAGUUCUUGGCGUGUUGUGAUGGAAGGGUAUUAUAGUCAAUUUAAGAGCAAAUUAUCUACCCAUGAAGUAAACCCCAAGUGUACGUGUCACUGCUCACUAGUUAUCAUUUGAUUAUUCAUCUUUUGUUCUUUUGUCAAUAUUUGAUUAUUCGUCUAAAUUUAAUCUUUAUCGAUAGUGUUCUCUUGUAGUUUGUUCUUAUUUGAAUACUUAUUCAUUUGUAUUGUUUAUCUAUUAAAUAAUUAUGCUUCCUACAGUGUAUUGUGAUUUGAUUUAAGUAAUUUCUAUAGGAAAUUUACCAAGAUUACUGAGAAAGGAAGAAUAAUUUUAUCAGUUGAUGUGUUAUGUAUGUAUUUGGGAACAGAAAAAGGAUAAUCAAAUGUUAUUUGCUCAUAAAUUUGAAUAAGUGACAAUGACUGUUGCUAUAGUAACUCCAUUUGAAACACAAAGCACGAGAAUCUUGAGAAGCGUUUUGUUGAAGGAAACAAUUUUGUUAUUUUUGGUCUUUUCUUUUUAAAAUAGGCUAAAAAGUAUAGUAGUUUCUUAAAGAAUGGGUAUAAGCAAAGAAAAACAUUUGUGGUCGACCAUCGAUACAGAUGCAGUUACUGUUGGUAGUUCUAUGUCACAUUUAUUACUUUUUAUUUAUUAAUCUCUCGAAAGGGUUCCAUCCCUUGUUUUAAAAAUCGCUAGGCGCUAGUCGGGCGCUCGGCAUGGGCCUAGCGAUUAAUCGGAAAAUCGGAUUAAAAUCGGAGAUUAAUCGGGGAUUAGUUUUAGGGUUAUUUUAAUAUUUUUAAAAUAUAUUAAUCCAAUAUUGUAAAAAUUUAUGAUUUUUAUUACAAAUUUAUGAUUUUUAUUAAAAUUUGAACACAAGUUAUUGUAAAACAUCACAAACUCUCCAUUCAAAUGAUUGAAUAACAAAAAUAAAAAGUUUUUUUAUACUUGCAAUCUAAAAAAUAAUCGGGGUAUAUAAGAUUAGGCGGAAAGUAAUCGGAUUAGGCGGUGAAUAAUCGGGUUACUGAUUUUUUAGGGGAUUAGUCAUUAAUCGAGGCGGAUAGGGUGGGCCUAGCGAUUAAGCGGGGAGUAAUCGGGACUAGGCGGGGAUUUUUAGAACAGGGGUUCCAUCCAACAAAAAGAAAUCUAUUUACUUCCAAUCUUGUUAACAUUUAUGUUUACAUGCAUCUCCGUUUAUGAACAAAUAACAAUUUGUAAGUAAAUUAUAGACUAUCAAAAUCAAUAGAGAAUCUAAAAUUUAAUGGUUAAUUACAAAAAAUAUUAAUGGCAUAGCUUUGUAGUUCCUGAAUAGGGCAUUUCAAACACACGCACAAAAAAAGGAAUUUGUUGGCUUGUCCCUCUCGCCUCUUCUUUUAUAACACUUCUGGAAUUUUGUUAUUCAUCAGCAAUAUUUCUUUUAAAAUAUUUUAUUUUUCAUGUUUAUUAUACGUCAAUACAUGUUUCGAAACCAUGACAUAUUAAAGCUUUUGUAUCUUGGACGUUUUAAGUAAAACAAUUAGAUAUGAGAUGAUUUUAGAGAAUCUAUAUGCGGUGACCACAUAAGAUUGAAAAAUUAGUUCUCUCUCAUUUUCAAUUUUAUCGUCUACUGUACAACAAAUUUAGACUAUUUUGCCCUUAACUUCAACAUUCAUAUUUCUCUCUUUUGUCUGGUAUCUAUGCAAGAAGAAAGAGAGAGUAGAUGAGAAAGAAGAAAAGAAAUGGUUUGGAGGAAGAAGAUCCGGAUUGGACAGUAUAUACAAAUGUUGGAUGGAGAAUCAAAGCUUGAGAUUAUUUUAAUCCUUUCUUGUAGAGAACUGUUAUGAGAGUGGAUCUUAUAAGCAUCCCUAGUUUCUGGGAAUUGAAAUUGAAUUGGUGAUCGUAGAUAAGAAUUAGAUGAAAUUGGCAAUUAGGGGGAUGAGAACGAGGUAGUGGUCACUACUAUUCCGGUGGAUCCUUUGAUGGAGACGAGAAGUAGUUUGAUUUCACCGGAAUUAUGACACUGCUAGUGGUUACUAUUACUACGGUGGAUCCUUUGAUGGAGACGAGAAGUAAGACGGCGGUUAAAGGAGAAGAGAAGAAGGAAGCAACGUCGCCUGCUCUUAGACUCACGGCAGUGGAAUUGUCACAGAUGGGGGAGAAGAUGGAGCAUCUCGGAGACGGUAAAGAGAGUUGUGACGAGGAAAUUGAAAAAAACCCAGUAGAUUAUUUCAAGUUUUCUUUCUCUUAUUUGAUUUCUGAUGUCGAUAAAAUACUUUUUAACAUGUUAAUCAAAUAGUUAUCCACAUAAAUAUUAUAAUAUAUGUAACUAGUUAUUUGUAUAUGAUAUAACAAAUGAGUUGCCACGAUAAAUAUAAAUUUAUUACAUAAAUUAUAAACUUAUCGCGAUACAAUAUGAUUUAACAUGAUAUAUUUAUAAACUUAUCGAUAUAUAUUAUGUUAUCAUGCUAACCUAAUAGAUAAUCAGUUAACUCAUAAUAUGUUCUUACUUAUGUAUUUGAUUCGUUAGAAUCAGAUAAAAUACGUCGAUAACAAUUUUAUUAUAUUGCUAAAUAAUUUGUUAUAUAUGGAGGGGUAUUUUUGUCCAAUUUAUAUAAAUUGAUGAGAGAGAAUUAAUUAUAUAAAAACUAUAGAUGUAUUCUUAAUUUAUAAGUCUUCUGUGUAUUUAUAUUAAUAUAGCCCAUGAUUUUAUCAGACGUCAGUUUUGUUUGGAAAUGUAGAAAGAAUCUAGAUAACGUGUAUGUUUGUUGUCAUGGAAUCUUUAUCUUCAAUCAGAAACUUCGUCUAGAUGAUGUAGUUAAAAAAGUGAAAAUUAUAAUUGUUUAGUCUUUAUGCAUGGUCCAAUAUAUAUACAGUGCCAUAGGUGUAUGUAUACAUACAGAUAAUGGUCUAACUACCAGAACCACCCAAGUUAUUAUAUUUUUGAUUCCGAAUCAAAAUACAACACAUAAUUUUUUCCUAGAGUAUAUGUUUAUUGUAAUUGGAGUUGGUUGAUGAUAAUAGAUUAGUAAUUUCUUUGUUGGUGGAGUCUAACAUCACACAAUAUUUAAUCUCAACACUUGUUAAUAAUUUGAUAUUUGUCUUAACCAAAUUUAUGAUAAAUUAAUGAUAUAUUUAGACAAAUAAAAUAAAAUUAAAUCCACUGAAAUUAACAUGACUUUACUAAAGUUCAUCUAAAUUAGUCAAAUACCUUGAUACGUAUUUAAAAAUUCUCACAUCUUAUGAUUCUUUUCAAUAAUAAUCGUUCACUAUAAACAGUUCAAACUAUCCACAAAUAAAUAAUUUAACAUAAGACUACACAAUAAAUAUAUUAGCCAUUUUUUUUUUUGAUAUUUUUGGAUCGACAAAACCCGAUCCAUAGUCAAUCCUUACUAUACGGGAUAACACGACUUACUGGAGUCGAAUUCCGGUGGAGAAGGCGGAAUCAAAUGAACUUAACCACUUGACUAAAGGCACAUCUCCAAUAAAUAUAUUAGAUAAAUAAUUUGAUCUUUGUCUUAACCAAAUUUAUGAUAAAUUAAUGAUAUAUUUAGACAAAUAAAAUAAAAUUAAAUCCACUGAAAUUAACAUGACUUUACUAAAGUUCAUCUAAAUUAGUCAAAUACCUUGAUACGUAUUUAAAAAUUAUCACAUCUUAUGAUUUUUUUCAAUAAUAAUCGUCACUAUAAACAGUUCAAACUAUCCACAAAUAAAUGAUUUAACAUAAGACUACACAAUAAAUAUAUUAGCCUAUAAAAUCACAAUUUAUAAUCUAACUUCCAUUCCUCGAUAAGUUGGUUCUUCCAAGGUAGACCUGGGCAUAUGGGUAACCCGUUCGGGUUCGGGUAAAACUCGUUCGGGUUCGGGUUGAAUGGGUAAUGAAUUUAUGGUCUAUUCGGAUAUUCCUAUUGUUUCGGUUCCAGUCUAGUUCGGGUAUUAUCGGGUUCGGGUCGGUUUGGGUAAUACCUGAAGUUUAAAAUCACUUUACAUACUCAAAUGAUCAAAUAAAGAGAAUAGAACAUCAAACAUGACAUUUAAAUACUAAAUCCAAUCCAAAAUAACAAAGAUGACUAUUUCACUCUUAAGUGUUAAGAGUAGAUUCUAAUUAUCUAUAUACAUAUAUAAAAAAGUCGUCGGACUUGCUUUCGCCGGUGUGGUGCUCCGAGUCUCUGCUUUAGGUCUUUCAGCAGGGCAAGAGUCAUUUUUCGUGUUGGGCCUUUUCUUAAACUCUCAUUUUUUGUAACUGAGUCUCACUUGUAUGCCCAUGGCUUUAGCCCAUUUUGGGAAAAGCUUUUUAAUAUAUGAGUUUGGUUAAAAAAUAUAUAUAUAUAUAUAUAUAUAUAUAUAAACAUAUGUGUAUUGCAUAUAUAUAAGUAUAGACUAUAUAUCUAAUUAUCUAUAUACAUAUAUAAACUCAAACGUCAAAAGUCACAAAACCUAAAACCUAGGACAUACAUAUAAGUAUAUAACUAUAUAAGACUAUAUAUUUAAUUAUUUAUAUACAUAUAUAAACAUGUGUAUUUCUUCGGGUUUGUGGGUACCCUAAAUGGGUAACGGGUAAUCCCCGACCCGACCCGAUACCCACGGGUAAUCCAAUACUCUACUCAAUGAAUUAAUUUUCUAAUACCCUAACCCGCCCCAACCUAAUUUUUUCGGUCCGGGUAUCGGGUCCGGGUUUUUUGCUCAGGCUUAUUCCAAGGGAUUAAAAUGAAUCUUAUAAAGGUAAUUUAAUAAAAAAAUAAAAUAAGAAAGAACCAAUUGAUGUGUUGGACGGUUGGACCACGUGGAUGCGGAUCAAAAGAGACUUGAUCAACUUAUGGAAACUCAUGAUGAUAGGUGUUUGUUACCGAACAUUCAAGUUCAAUGAUGUGGCUGGUCCUAACUAACCAAAUCUAUUUAAUUUCUUGUUUUUCUUCUUCUUUUCAAUUACCAAAAUCGGAAUUGUCAAGAUUCAAGAAGAACAAAGAGAAUGACAAUAAUAUGCAACGUAGCUAGACUUCUACUUGUCAAAAUAAUUCUCUGCAUAGUCUCUCGAAAGCUCAGUUUUAUCUACUCGUCUUUUCAAACAUAUAUACAAAACACAAUUUAGUGCGUUUAUUCAUGAAUCCGCCCACUAUACUCAUUUCAAUUUAGGUGAAUUAGCCUGUUGAUAAAGAUAGAUGCCAAAAACAAAAUGAAUGUGAAUGACCAAUGUAGCUUCGUUUACAAUUACAUUGUUGGUUUGACAAAGAAAGAUUACAUUGUGAUUUGGUUUAAACCGGUUCAUACCCGAUUUACAAACCAGAUGUGUCACAGAGUAUAUGGCAAAGUUUUGCAGAGCUCUUAACCAAUGCUCUCAUUGAGUUUAGAGAAUCCAAGCUUCUUGAGUCUACUAGUUAUCGGAUUAGCCCAAGCUCGAUCUGGAUUCCCGCAUUUCACAUCCACAAUCUCCACAAUGUUCAUUCUCUUCUCUCUUCUCGGGGUUCCUUGCAACGAUACAUUUUCAGAGCCAAGCAUUGGAAGCUGAUGAGUGCUUUUGGUAUUGUGGUGACCCUUUGGUGUUCUAACAUUAUCAGAGCCAAGCAUUGAAAGCGGAUGAGUGCUUUUUGUAUUGUGACCCUUUGGUGUUCUGACAUUAUCAGAGCCAAGCAUUGAAAGCUGAUGGGUGGUUUUGGCAUUGUGACCCUUUGGUGUUCUAACAUUGUUAACAUUGCUGCUGCUGCUAGCUUCGUCUGAUGAUUUUCUUGGUUUUGUUCUUCUUGGAGUUGAAGAAGAUGUGCCACAGUCUACUGAGACAGGGAUUGUUGUUCUAAUAGGUCUCGUUGUGGGAGUCUGAGGCGAAGGUUGUUUCAUGGAGUCUAGCUCUCGUGUCAUUAGAGUUGCGACUGUUCCUGUUGCUCCUAUUUUUAUCGAUCCUCCCCCACCUUUGAUCAGUUCAAGCUUCUGAACCAUUAUGAAUUUUGUAAAUUUUCUUUCGCCUCUGCGACUCUCUAAGAGGACACUUCUUGAGUUUUAUCCGGCUUUACGGGUCUGAAAACAAAUCUGAAUAAGCAAACAAAGCAUCAAUAUAGAUGGAUAAGUAACCUUCUUAUUUCAAAAAGCAGCAAACCAAAGUACCAAACAAAUACGCCACUAGUUUUGCAGUACCUUGAUGAGGAGUUCAUGUUUUCAAAUUGGGGUAUAUGCGAAAAACGAUUUAGUAGAUGAAGCAAACUUUGAAGCAGAAAAGAGGAACUGAGAAUUCCAUAGAUAGCACCAAUUGUGAAAUGAAAACUGAGAACAAAAAUCAAUAGUCUACUGCAUCAUAACUAAAGUCCUUGACUUUCAAGAACCUGAGUAACAAAAGGAGAAUGAAACCUACAUAUACACAGUUUCAAGCCAUAUCCAGUGUUUUUAAUGUAAAAGAAAAGAAAGAUGAAAUCAAAGCACUAAGAUCAAACUCUAACCAUACUAAUAAGCUGAGAAGAAAAACAUCAAAGCUAUUUAUAGAUACUAGACAUGACACAUUUGAAUAAGAGCUUGGAGCAUAUCAUAUUAUACCACUGGUUCUCUUAACUAAUAUCAAACGUUUAGUAUUUACUUGUUUCAAUCAGAUUGAUUGAAAUACAAGGUUGAAACUUGAACCAAUGCAAUGUCAAUCACAGAAACGACUCAACUUUUAUUAUCAAAAUCAAUCUCUAUCAAUCAAAAGCAAGAGGGAAACACAAUAAUCGAAGUGAUAAAAGGGGGGAGAAAGGAGGAAAACGAAAACCUAGUCACUAGUGAUUUGAAGUAAAACAAACAUGAGAACGACAUUUUUAUGAUUUUAAUCCUUGACCAGUCACAUUCAACAGCCAAGAAACAAAUCCCAGAAAAAUGAGUCAAAAUCACACAAGAGCAAUCACAAAAUUCCCCUAACUAGAAACAACCCUAGCUAAAUAAUAUCAACAGAUCACCAAACAAUGGAUUCGCACAAUAAAAGCUCACCGAUUUAUAAUCGAUCAAGUGAUCAGAAGAAAGCUAAACCCUUUUCAAAUUUCAAAACUUCUAGAACUCCACGAUGUAAAUUGAUCGAAUUGGAUUAAGGAACCGCAUUGAAGAUUAGUAGUAUACGAAGGGAAAAAUAAAAAUCAAAACUUUGGUCUUUUGAUUGGUUUUGAAAUCUGAGUUUUCUUGUGGAACGUGAUGGAUUAAGCAGCGACUAGUCAACGUUCCUUGUUUACAGUGUAGAGUAGAUUCCUCAUUCUUAUUGGACUCGGAGAGUAAUAAUGUUUUACUUUUUGACGAACAAGAAGAGAAAUAUGCAAAUUAUAUUAAAAUCCCUAAUCUUUUGAGUCUAUCACAUUUUUCACCUUAAACUAUCAAUUGUAUCAGAAUCAGAAUGAUUAUAUAAAAACGCAGCCGUUUAAAACGCAGCCGACAAAAUGUAGAAGUAGCUCCGGUCAUUUCAGAAACAAGUUCUGUUCUGGCUGUCGUGUGUUUUGUCUAAGGGAGAAGCGAGGGAAGAGAUUAAAAGAUUAAACCUUUUUCGCCUUCAUGGAUUCGAAGUUGAGGAAUUUCGUGAUGGGUCUGUUUGUGAUGACUGCGAUCUUGAAAGGUUCUGGUGUCGACGCGUGGACUGGCGAGAUUCGUGGUAGAGUUGUGUGUGAUGUCUGUGCUGAUUCUUCAAUUGGGCCAGAAGAUCAUGUUCUUGAAGGUUAGUAUCUCUGUAUCUCUGCUUUCUGUCUUCUCUUUAAUCAGUUUUUAGAUGUUCGAUUGCCGGGAAGAAGAACAAUUGUCUGAUUUUGUGAAAUUCUUUUGAUUCAGCUGUGUAGAACUCUGGAUUGACUUUUAUGUAGUGGUUCUUGAGAAAAGACUGUUGUUCUGAUGGAUUUCUUCAGAGUGAUUACUGUUCAUUUCAAUAGCAGUUGUUUCUUGGGCUUCUCACACAUCAAAUUGGUGUGAAUUUAUCAUUUAGUGCAAUGUUUAAUUGUAAAUAUUUUUUAGUUCUACAGAGUAGUUUAUUAGCCGAAGCUAGUUGGUACUGUUAGUUCUUCUUUCUUGAGCAAAUGGUGCAUAUCUAUGUGAGUGACUGAGUGUGUGUGUGCCUGCAGUUUUUGCAGAUUCUUAUUUGGCUUUUGUAAUAACAGAAAUCAAAUUUAGAGCGGAUUAUGGUUUGUAUCAUCUCUUGUCUCGUUGCAACUUAAAAGUUUGUUAUGUUCAUCAUCCUUGUGUUUUUAGCUGCGCUUUUGUAUUUGUCCGAUAGUGUUAAAUCGUUUUUGCAGAUUAUGUUAUGCUUCUAUGUGAAAUCUUGUCAAGUUUUCUGAUUCAUAUUUGGUUCUUUUAAUUACAUGAAUCAAAUUUAGAAGCCCUUAUGGCUUGGAUCAUCUCUUGUCUCUCCGGAACUUAGUAAUUAGUUUGUUCAUCCUUGUUUUCGGCUAGUUUUAUGUAUUAGCCGAUUGUGUUAAAUGAUUUUUCAACUGUGCUUCAUAUUUCAAAUAGUCUUGUUGAUAACUCAAAACCUGGAUUGCUUAGAAGCCACUUGGUUUUAUGUGUUUACAUUGAACAUGAAUGCAUAUUACCAUUCUGCUAAUGAAAUGAACUCAAAUUGGCACUUUUAAACUGUGUUAUGUGAUCCAGUCAUUUCAUGUCAUUGAAGGAUCAAUCACAAUUUGCGAGUUGUUAUUGUUCAAUCUUUACAGGAGCUGAGGUUGCGGUUCUGUGCAUAACGAAAUCUGGAGAAGUUGUGAACUACCAAGCUUUCACAAACUCAAAAGGUGUCUACACAGUUGCAGAGACAAUGCCAGAGAGUGAACGUUGGGACGCUUGCCUUGCAAGACCCAUCAGCAGCUUCCACACACCUUGCAACCGCCUACACCAAGCCAAUACCGGAAUCAAAUUCACUUAUAACCGCCCUUCCGGUUUCUUUCAUGCCGUGAAACCGUUUGUGUAUCGACCACAAUAUGCACCUUCUUAUUGCUGAUUCACAGACUCUUUGUUAAAGUCCUUGUAAGUUUUUUUUUUUUUUUUUUUUACCUUGUAAGUUGGUAAUAUAAUUGAAAUAUACUAUCAAAAUAUGAAAUAGUUUGGAUUUGUAAAAUGCUAAUAUGGAUCAAGCUUAGAUCUUCCUCAAGUGUGUUUGAUUAAAGGAUAAGAAGUUUAUUAUAUAAAGUCUUUAGUCAAAGUCAAAGAGAGACUAGUCUCACAAGGCGGUGACGGGGGAGGUAAAAAACAGUUAAUGUUGAAUGGGUCCUACAGAUGACGUGUCUAAAUAUUAUAGGAUCAACAACGUGUCUCAAGCUUUUUGUUGGAGUAAAAGACGAAAAUAUCCCUAUCGUCAUUCUUUGCGUCAGUCAACUGAAAAAUUGAAUUUUUGUUCUAGACGAGGAAGGAAGCCAUAACUCUGGGAAAUCAAAAAUCGUUAUAAGAAGAAACAGAGAGAUUGCGACGGGGACAAAAUUCUGAUGAACCGGAGAAUCUAAGAAACGUGUUUUGUCUAAUUUCUUGCGAUUAUAAGAUGAUACAUUGGUUGAAGCAGCUGCGAUCGGCGUUUGGCGUCGCGUUUCUGUGGCUCGUUUGUCUCAUUUACUUCACUCAGGUUUGCUUUGGAUUUUCUCUUAGAGUUUUGGCAAAUUCAUAUGUAAAUGGCGAUUCUCGCGUUGAGCCGAAACAGAAAUGGUGAUUGAUUCUCGUUGCUGAUUUUUUGAUUAAGCAGAGAACGCAUUUUUCACGUUGUCGUUGUAUUUACGCUAAAUCGUGAUUAAUAUCGUGAAUCAAAUGCGAUUAGAGAUUCAAAAAAACUUGUGAUUUUGAGAUGUUUUUAAAUUUGAAACGUUAUUGGAUCAAUUUUAUCGCGUUUUCCUCUGUUUUCGUGUGUUUUGAGACGAUCACCAUACAUUUGUUGAGAUCGGUUUGGUUAAUUUCAUGUUAUUUGGUGAUUAAUUAUGUAGAAACUUAGGAUUAGCUAUAACUAAAUUGAUUUUGGUGAUCUUGGCGUAUAUAGGGAUUUAGAUCGUUCGUGUGGACAGCAGUUUCUUACCAGCUCAAAGACAGGCUGCAAUUAUCACCAUCAGCUUCUCAGUUUGUCUUUUCGGUGGCCUUUUUUCCAUGGAGCAUAAAACCAUUAUAUGGGUAUGAAUCUUCAUGAGUACUGAUGAUCAAUGUAUUGAUUCAAGCUAAAUUGGCAGUGAUAGUAGGAGCUUUGUAAUAAUGACAUGUUUUUUUUGGUUUUGGUAGAAUCGUAUCAGAUUGUAUACCCAUUGGAGGGAAAAAGAGGACGCCGUAUUUGGUGUUAUCGACUGUGCUCUCUCUUGUGCCAUGGCUCUUUCUUGGUCUAGAUUCAACCUCGCGAAGUUCAAGUCUUUAUCUGAUGAUUUUCUUGACUGUACAAAAUCUGGGAUCAGCCAUGGCUGAUGUUGUGAUAGAUGCCAUGAUAGCUGAAGCAGUAAGACUUGAAAAGUAAGAUUUUAUGUUCUUUGGUUUUGGAUCCGCACUUAGAUCAUAGUUUAAUGCACUUUGUUCAUUAGUUGAGUUGUUCUUUCAUUGUUUAUUAGGGCCUCGUUUGCUGGAGAUCUUCAGUCUGUCUCAUGGUUUGCAAUGGCUGUGGGUGGAGUAUGCGGUAGUUUAUUAGGAGGCUAUGCAUUAUCCAACUUGAAGAUAGAAACAAUAUUCCUCCUUUUCACGGUACUACCGACGCUACAAUUACUAUCAUGUGCUCUGGUUGAAGAAAUUCCUGCUAACAAUGAACCAUUGCCUGAGUUGUUGGAUUCGAACGAGUUUGAAGAGAAAAGCAAGUUGAGCAGUGAUAACUAUCGAGAUACGAAUAAGUCUAGUACAAGAAGAAGGAAGGGGCAGAAGAAAGGUAAGAAAGGAGCUUCCAAUGGAAAGUCUGAGAAACAGAAGAAGCAAUCAAAGUCUUUAGCUUCACAGUGGUUCCAGUCACUGAAAGCAGCCACUUUUGGUUUGGGCCGUGCGUUCAAGCAACCAAUCAUUUUGAGGUAAUGCACGCUUUCUUAAAUAGUCACAUUUGAAAUUUCGUUGAAGUGUUGCUUUCUCAUUUACUUUCGCUGGUUGUCCAGACCAAUGGCGUGGUUUUUCAUUGCGCAUAUCACUGUGCCAAAUCUCUCUACGGUCAUGUUCUAUUACCAAACCGAGGUCUUGCAAUUGGACGCUGCUUUCCUAGGAACUGCCCGUGUUGUUGGUUGGUUAGGUCUCAUGUUUGGAACCUUUAUCUACAAUCGCUAUCUGCAAGAUAUGACUCUACGCAAGUCUCUCUUGUAAGUCUAAAUAUUUCCCACGCACACAUCAAGACUUGGUUGCAUCUGAUUACUUCGUUCUUUAAGUGAUUCUAAUGAACAAAACAUCAUCGCAGGUUUGCUCACAUCGGGCUGUCUAUAACGAUACUCCUCGAUAUGGUUCUAGUAUCAAGAGAAAAUGUGGGCUACGGAGUUUCAGACAAGACAAUGGUGCUCUUCGGAUCAGCUCUAGGUGAUGCCAUCAAUCAACUCAAGUAAGUGGCUUUGCCUUAUUUAUUUUCUCUGGAACAUUUCUUCCAAGAAUUGUAACUCAAAAUUCAUGCUUUGUCGCAGAUUCAUGCCGUUCCUGAUCUUGUCUGGUCGUCUAUGUCCACCUGGGAUCGAAGGAACACUCUUUGCGCUGUUUAUGUCGAUAAACAACCUAGGAAACACAGUUGGAUCGUUCAUGGGAGCAGGAUUGGCUUCACUUCUAGGAAUAUCAUCAGGGUCAUUUGAGAAUAUGUUUAUGGGCUUAGCCAUUCAAGUGUUUUGCACUUACAUACCUGUUUUGUUUCUUUUCUUAAUUCCAAAAGAAGCUACAGGAGUAUCAGCAUCAUAGAGCAGAGAGAGAGCAAAGCUAGUUUGUCAUAGAAAAAGUUUUAGAUCAGAGUUUUUGGAUUCUAUUUUUUUGGCAGUUUUUAACUUUCUUAAAGGCUUGGAAUUGGCACAUUAUACAGAGUGGAGACUUGUUAUAUACUAAUACUAAAAAAUAUACAGCCUCAUUUUUUUCUUGUCAAUCUUACUUAAUCCAAAGAUGCAUAAUAACAUUUACCCUUUUUUUUUGGUUGGAACUAAAACAGAUUUUAAAUUUUGUUGAAGUAUGGUCGUGUUUCAUCAUAUAGGCUAAUCUCAUACAAAGUCAUACCAGGUUUGUUUUUUUUCUUUCCAAAAUAAGCUAAACUGGUACAACGAUCAAUUUUCAACUUACGUAAUUAGAUGGUUAUUAAUUGGGCUUUUUGAAGUUGGACUCACAUGGAAAAGCAAAAAAAAAAAACCAAAAGUUUAUCAGAGCCAGGUUUCGAUCCUGGGACCUGUGGGUUAUGGGCCCACCACGCUUCCGCUGCGCCACUCUGAUUUAUUUGUUAUUCAUCAUACAUAUAACAUAAUUAAAUCAACUAUCUAUGAUAUGGAGAUUGUCCGACGGGUAUCGCGCGGAGAACAAAAAUGCCGAAGAUAAAAAAGAUGAGACGACGACCAGGAACCGGAAGAUUACGUUGAAGUUUGCACGCUAAAAAGGUUUCAUAAUGGAAAUGGAUGCUUGAUCAGUUUACAGAAGCUAUGCAACCAUCUUCGUCAGAGAAGAAAAAAAGAUCGUGAAGCUGUGACUAAGAAAUCCACAUUUUAGAACUAAAAGAAAUGUUAACUUUUAUGCUUAUGUAGAGAGUCUCAUGAGAUUUAAAAGUUUCUUGCGUUUCAAGGUAAAGCUAGGGGUGGGCAUUUCAAAUUUCGGUUUGGUUCGGAAUAUGUUAUACCAAAUUAGAACUUGAAUUAUAUAACUUGAUUCGGUUAAGCGAAAGUGUAGUGCAUAAGUGAUUGAAACCUACGAAGUUUCUAAUUUGCCAUGAUGUCGGACCAUGUACAUAACGUUGAAGAUUUGAUUUUUGUUGCUUUGAAAAUAAGAUUUUUUUUGUUUUUUUUUUUAGUUAUAAAAUUUUGGGUGGAAGAAACGGCGACGUAUCUUUUAAAUUUGCACGCCAUUGAAACAUACUUCAAGUAUGUACACGUUAGAUCAUUGAUGACGCAACGUAAUUAGAUGAUGACAUUGGGAUUAAGGAAUUGAAAAUAAAAUAAAAACGAACAUGACGAAAAAUUUCUGUUAAUUUCGUAUGUUGUGGUGUACGCUAAAUUAUCUAUCGUGAAUCCGUGUAUAAUGUGAUGUACUUGUAUAGAUCAUGUAAUUAUCGUUGAUUGUCGAAUUUACACAAUAUUAAAAUAUUUGGAUGAUGUGAUCUUACUUUUGUUACCAUGUUUUGGCUGAUAAUCUAUCUCUAUUUAAACAAAAAAUUUGAGAUCAAAUCUAAACUAUUUUCAUAAUCGUUGCAAAAUCUUUUCAAAAAUGGUAACAAAGUAUUUGUGUCCAACCGUAGAGAAAUCAAAAAGACAAAAAAAUCAAUCCACUAUCCAUCAGAUCUCCAAACAUUUUUUAAAAAAGUUACUUAAAAUGUUUAUGUUAAUUGAUCGGGUUAAAAAGAAUAAAGAUAUUUUUUUCCUUCCGGAUUCUAAGCUUUCUGAGAUAAAUUUCCUAGUUAGAAAAUUUGUGAAUUUUGGAUUAUAUUUUAACAAAAUACGUCAGAAUAAAUCACUCAAUUAUUCAAACACAAUAGCGAUGUAUAGAACAACAUAAUUAUACAUUAAGUAAUAUAUAUGGCUCUGAAUACAUAUCAAUUUCCUGUUGAUUUAAAAUAUGCUAAAAGCAGAAUGAAAUUGUUUUAAUAAAUUACAUACAAGAUUAUAUAAAAAAAAUCUGCACCUAGUUAAUGUAUAAUUUUGUUGAUAAUUAGGAUAUAAGCAUCCCUCGACCGUAUAAAUUAAUAGUAGAUUUAAUUUCAAAAUAAUUAAACUUGCCACUUUGAUACGGAAGUUAUUUUCCUUUUUUUUUCUUUUCUGUUUUAUUUUUCUUAAUAUAAAUAAAUUUGAUUAAAUAUCGUGGAGAGUCCCAGAACCGGAAACAUGGCGUCUUCAUCAUCCUCAUCGUCUUCUUCGCUUUCCUCAAUUCUCUCCAUCGUCGUACUGAUUCUAAUUGUAUCAACCGCUGAAUCAGUGAAAUCACCGUUUCAUCCUCGCGAUUUGCUUCCGCAUUUGCCCAGACAAGUCUCAUGGCCGAUUCUCAACUCUCUUUACGGCGCUGCCGAUCUGCUUCCUACUUUCAUCGGAACAGCGAGAUCUGGGAACGAUUCCGUUGACUGGAAAGGGGCUUGUUUCUAUGAUAACACCGCUUGGUUAGAGUUUCAUAACAAGUCUGGUAGCGAGUUUGGUGGAGGCACUCUUCACAUUAAGGUGAAAAUUAAAAAUUGAAGUCAAAAUCGAAUUUUGUUCCUUUGUCAACUAUGAUCGCUCUGUUACUUAUUGAGUGAUAAUGGGAGAUUUUGGUAUAUGGGCACUCUUCAAUUUUGACUUUUGAAACUUCUAUUGUUGACCGUUAGUUAAGUCUAGAAGUUUUGGGAUCCUGGAAAUUAGGAAAAAGAUUUCGAAUUGUAUCUGAUCUUCUUCUCUAGUGUGUAUUCUUAGAAGAUGCUUCCUAAUUCUUACUCAAGUUUGGAUUUUAAGUUGUAUCCUAAGUUUGAUUAUGUUGUUGGUGUUGUUUAUGAAGGCGGAUAAGGCGCAUAGUUGGACGUGUAUGGAUCUUUAUGUAUUUGCAACUCCAUAUCGUGUGACAUGGACUUGGUACUUCAUUUCACGACAGCAUACUGUGGAAUUUCCGGAGUGGGAUGGCAGAGCUGAGUAUGAAUAUGUAAGUUGUUGUUAUCUUUUGUUAGAAUUAUGUAAGGAUUUAAUAUCUAUGACUUUUGUUUUAUGUGUGUUUGGCUACUUAUUGGAUCAGGUUAAGAACCAAGGAGUUUCGAUAUUCCUUAUGCACGCAGGGAUGUUAGGAACACUUCAAGCACUGUGGGAUGUUUUUCCUCUCUUUACCAAUACUGGUUGGGGGGAGAGCUCUAAUCUUGCGUUUCUCGAGAAGCAUAUGGGAGCUAAUUUUGAACCUCGUCCUGAACCAUGGGUUACAAAUGUUACAACUGAUCAAAUCCAGUCUGGUGAUCUCUUAGCUAUUUCAAAGAUCCGUGGGCGGUGGGGUGGUUUUGAGACCCUUGAGAAAUGGGUGAGUGGGGCAUAUGCUGGUCAUUCCGCUGUAUGCUUGAGAGACUCUGAAGGGAAACUUUGGGUUGGUGAGUCAGGAAAUGAAAACGAUAAGGUAACAACAACACUUCAAAGUUCUGCCCUAACGUUAAGUUUUAACUACAGCAAGACUUUUUUGAUGAAGGUUUUUUUUUCUUGUCAUAGGGAGAGGAUGUAAUAGCAAUCUUACCAUGGGAGGAGUGGUGGGCAUUUGAACAAACAAAGGAUGACUCGAAUCCUCAGAUAGCAUUGCUACCUUUGCAUCCCAAUGUUCGUGCUAAAUUCGACGUUGCUGCUGCUUGGAAAUAUGCUCGCAGCAUGGAGGGUAAACCAUAUGGUUAUCACAACUUGAUUUUUAGUUGGAUUGAUACCGUUAGUGAAAACUACCCGCCCCCUCUAGAUGCCCAUAUUGUAGGUUUUUUUUCUUAUUUCUCACAAUUUUUGGUCUUGAUGAUUGAAUACACUUUCAGAUUGUAUUAAAUUUGAGCUUCUCUUUCUUUCAGGUUGCAUCUUUCAUGACUGUUUGGAGCCAAAUGCAGCCUGAGUAUGCUGCUAACAUGUGGAAUGAAGCCUUGAACAAGCGACUGGGAACAGAGGUAUUAAAAUUUGUAUCUUUGUUUCUAUAUACUUUUCGUACUUCUUAAUCACCCUAAUUUCUUAACAUCUUCAUGAUUUUUUGAUGAUUUUUUUUAUUUAGUAAUUAUCCUCGUUAGUGAUGGUCUUAAUAUCUGAUUCUGUAAUAUUUUAUCUUUGAUUUCUGUAUAUGAUCUACAUAUUUCCCUGCUUCUAUAAUUUGACUCUAUUCGUUGUCCCAAUUUUUUCUCUUCUUCUCUAACAUAGUCUAAAUUGCAGGGUCUUGAUCUUUCUGAUGUACUGGUCGAAGUAGAGAAGCGUGGAUCCUCAUUUGACAAACUACUGGCAGUACCUGAACAAGACGAUUGGAUAUACAGCGAUGGUAAAUCAACCUCAUGCAUCGCUUUCAUUCUCGAAUUGUACAAAGAAGCUGGCUUGUUCGGUCCACUUGCUAAUUCUAUUCAAGUCACGGAAUUCACGGUAAGAAUCAGUACACAGUCUCUGUUUCCCUUCCUGCACGCAACCUCUUGUGACCAUUUUCUUUUUUAUAUUUUUUCAAUCUGCAGAUCAAAGAUGCUUACAUGCUCAACUUUUUCGAGAACAAUGCAAGUCGUCUUCCUACAUGGUGCAAUGCCAAUGACAAUGUGAAGCUUCCUUACUGUCAGAUACUUGGGAAGUACAGAAUGGAACUUCCUGGUUACAAUACUAUGGAACCAUACUCGCACAUGAAUGAACAAUGUCCUACUCUGCCUCCAAAGUACAACAGACCAGAUAACUGCUAGAAUACAACUCUUAUCUCUUCCUCAGAUGUCUGAAUUUUAGGAAAAAAAGUUAAAUGUAAUACAGUUGAAAAUUCAACAAUUACUUGAUCUGUUUGUAUAUAUAUCAUUCAGGUUUGUAGCAGCUGCUCAUCAUGUAACUGUUUGGAUAUUUAUACACACAAAUAGAAAAUUUAAAGUUUUAUCUUUUGGACGUCUUGAACAUAGUCAUCUUCCGGUUUAGUUUGGUUUAUCUGGAUUGAACCGGUGUUGUUUAAUUCGCAUCAUCGUCGUACAGAGAAAGUAGUAGCAAAGCUUGAAGCUUUCGAUUUCUAAAUGUGCGGUAUGUCGUUAUCAGGACAGAUGAUGGGCCAUGUCGUGGCCCGAACUCAGAUGAUCUUGUCUCGAAGUAACUUCGCCGAUUGUAUACGGUGUCAGGGGGUGAGAGUUUCCAAAACCCUAACAAUGGGGACUAAGCGGCGACCCACUUGCCCUUCUUGCGAUAAACCUAGCCAGCUCUGCCUCUGCAAGAAGAUGCGAUCUCCAUGUUUCGAUAAUCAGGUGAGUGUUACUAUUCUUCAGCACAGUCUCGAGAGAAAACACGCACUUAAUUCAACUCGAAUCGCUAGAUUAGGGCUUAAGAAUGUUGGUGUGACUACUGUUUUCGAUGUACAUGAUGAGGCAGAGUUCGUAAUCAGGGUCAUUGGAUCGGGUUGCAGCAAGAUUGGCACGAAUCAGUCAGAUUUUGAUUAUAGGCUAGAGAAUGUUGCUUCUUUGGAGCUUGAUGAGAGCUUUAAGUUAGGUAUUAAUGGAAAUGUGGAGAACUUAGAAUCUGAGAAGAAUGUGGUGCUUGUUGCUCAUAGAAGCUUGAAAAUUGCUGAAAGUUUGAAGCUUUCUCAACAUUCGGGUGAAAUGUCUUGUCGGGAUUUGCGGGUUACAGAUAAGAUAGGUUCUUGUGAAGAAAGUAGAUCAGAAGAUUUGAUAAGAAUCUGUAUGAAGAAACAAGGUGUCAUCAGCAAUGUCUCACACUCUUUGAUGCUUGAAACCAGUGUGGAGGAUUCUAGUUUUGAUCAUAUAUUGGGUUCUCCUGCCGCCAUGGAUGUCUUGGCGAAAGGGUUUGUUGUAACAAAGUUCUCAGAAGGGAAGCGAGAAUUUGAACUUGAGGUUCCUCCUGGAUCAGCACUAUUGUUCCCGAGCGAAAAAUCGGUGAAGAUCAAUGAUCUUAAAGAGAAAGAAGAGUUGCAGGUAAGGAAUCUGCUUGUUCUUGAUGGGACAUGGUCAAAGGCAAGAAGAAUAUACCUUGAGAAUCCAUGGCUAAAGCUUUUACGUUGCCAUGUGAAGCUAGAAAUGGAAGGUACAAGUAUAUACAAAGAAGUUCGAAGGCAGCCAAGAGCGGGAUGUUUAUCGACAAUAGAGAGUAUUGUAUACACGAUGAAGGAGAUCGGUGAAGAUCCCGAAGGUUUAGAUAAUAUGUUGAAUGUCUUUGAAUCCAUGGUUGAAGAUCAAAGAAGAUGUAAAGAUGAGAACUUUGAAAAGAUUAUCUGAAAGACAAAAUGACUUUGCUGUUGUAACAUGUAAGCUGAAUGAAUCAGAUUCUUCAAUUUUGAUAAAUUAUGCGAAGUUGGAGUCGUUUUUGGCAAUUUAUUAUAUUUGGGGAUGAACAAGAAAAUUUCAUAGUUCUGGGCUAAUAUGUAAAUUAUAGGAAAUAUAAGUUUUGUUGAGUUAAAACUUUUGUUGUCUUCAAAAUUAACCCUACGAAUUUGAACUCAGAGAGUGUUUGUUUCGUCUCCGAAUGCUUUCAAUACGCAGAAGCUUAUUGACUCUAGCCAAAGAGCAAAAAGAUUUGUUUUUGUUGUUGUGUAAUCUCCGAGCUCGAUUUGUAUCUACAGAUAACUAUGAUCCACCAUUUUCGCCUCUCUCAAAACCCACUAAACCUCCAAAAGAGAAGAAGAAGACGAAGAAGAAGCAAGAUCAGUCGUCGGAGCUGAAGAUUCCGAUGAUUUCAGACCUUCCUUUCGAUUUUAGGUAUUCGUAUUCAGAAACCAACCCGGAAAUUGAACCAAUUGGAUUCCGUGAACCGAAACGGUUUUCUCCUUUUGGACCGGGUCGAUUGGACCGGAAAUGGACCGGUACUUCCGCACUAGUUUCGCCGGAGAUUGAUCAGAGUCAAUGGGUGGAGGAGAGAGCAAGAGUUCUCGGCGAGCCUUUGACAGAGGAAGAAGUUACAGAGCUUGUUGAACGGUAUCGGCAUAGUGAUUGUUCACGACAGAUUAAUCUCGGUACAAUUUUGAAUCUUUUUGCCUAAAAUGUUUAGCUUUGAAAUUAGUUUUCUUGUUCAAAUCGAACCAUCUUCAAAGUUAAGAACUUUCUUCAUCGUUUCUUUGAAAGUUGAAACAUUGAGUAACUAACUUAUGUGAUUGGUCUCUUCUAAACUUUGUGGUGUUAUCAGGGAAAGGUGGUGUGACUCACAAUAUGAUAGAUGAUAUUCACAACCAUUGGAAGAAAGCUGAGGCAGUGAGGAUUAAAUGCUUGGGAGUACCAACUCUUGACAUGGACAACAUAUGUUUCCACCUCGAGGUGUCUGUUAUUAGAUCUCAAGAACACGGCUCUCUUCUUCUUUUGGUUGAUCUAAUUUUCGUAAGUAUUCAUCCUGAUCUUACUAUACUUGUGUUCUUGACAGGAAAAAUCUGGUGGAAAGAUUGUAUACAGACACAUAAACAUUCUAGUUUUGUACCGGGGAAGGAAUUAUGAUCCGAAGAGUCGUCCCAUUAUACCACUCAUGUUAUGGAAGCCUUAUCCACCGAUAUACCCAAGACUUGUAAAGAAUGUCGCCGAUGGAUUAACAUUUGAAGAGACCAAAGAGAUGAGAAAUCGCGGGAUUCAUUCUCCUGCCUUAAUGAAACUUAGUAAGUAGUACAUUCGUCGCAAAGUUCUUGGUCAUUUUUCUGGUUUUCCUCAGUUUUCAUUGGCUUAUUUGUAUUGUGAUACAGCUAGGAAUGGUGUCUAUGUUAAUGUCGUGGGAAGAGUGAGGGAGGAGUUUGAAACAGAAGAGAUUGUGAGACUAGAUUGCACUCAUGUUGGGAUGAGUGACUGCAAACGAAUCGGUGUGAAACUAAAGGUAUAAUAAACUCUAAAUGGAUUGCUUGUCUUAUCUUCUCUGUCAGAUUCUGUAGGAGAUUGAUCUUGAUGGUGUGAUCAAAAUUGUAGGAUUUGGUUCCAUGUGUUCCCAUAUUGUUCAAAGAUGAGCAAAUCAUACUCUGGAGAGGGAAGAGGAAUGGUGAAGAAGAGCUUUUUUCACUCUGCGAAAACUUUAAUCCGGAACAAUGAUCAUGUGAUCUUGGUUGAUUUGUAUAUUGCAUUACAAAAUAGGGAAGGAUCCAAAUUAUGUAUUUUCGAAAAAUAACUAUGAGUUUCGGUUUGAUUUAGCUCAUAAUUUGAUUUCGGUUUGAUUUAGCUCAUAAUUAGAUUUCUAGAGUAAUCAAUCUACUUUUCUUUUUGUCAUCUUACCUUCGAACACUAACCAUGUUCAAUUACUCAAAUCGCCGGUUCAAAACCAAACCGGUCAAUAGUAUUUAAAACAGCUAAUGGGCUGAGGUAGGGCUGGACUUUUAAACCGAACCGAAAUUUCAAAAUAUCUGAAUGGAUACUAAAUUUUAAAACCGAAAGAACCGAAAACCGAAUGGAUCCAACCGAUAACCGAACGGAUAACCGAAAGCUCAGGCCUAAUAAAAGUUCUAAGAGUGGGCUUAAAAAAAGCCCAGAACUGUAUCGUCAUAACUAUAAUAAAGUAAGCGAGACAUUUAAGGAGCUUUAUUUUCAUUUCUCUUCCCCGUAGCGAAAUUUUAGGUUUUUUUAUUCCGUCGUAGUGAUGCAGCACCCACCGUCAAACGCCGCCGGAGCAGGACAGAUACCAUCGGGACAGCAACAGUUGUGGAUAAUGAUGCAACAGCAGCAACAGCAGCAGCAGCAGCAGCAGCAGCAGCAGCAGAGGCAGUCUGCGGCGUUACUAGGUCAACAGCAGUACGGUGUUGGAUCUCAGAAUCCAGGAUCCGAGGUCAAAUCGUUGUGGAUCGGAGACUUGCAGCAAUGGAUGGACGAGAACUACAUCAUGAGCGUCUUUAAUCAGUCUGGCGAGGUAAUUUACUUCACUGAGAUUAUGAAAAUCCUGGGAAAUAGUUUUGAAAUUCGAGAAGAACAGAGUCGUGUUUUUACUAGUUAUAGUCUUUUGCUUAUCAUGUAGAAGAUUAAAAAGUAUUGUUCUUUGUUUGUGGUUUCAGGCUCAAUCAGCUAAAGUCAUUCGUAAUAAGCUGACGGGACAAUCUGAAGGUUAUGGAUUCAUUGAGUUUAUCAACCAUUCUGUAGCUGAGCGGGUUUUGCAGACUUACAAUGGUGCUCAAAUGCCGAGCACUGAACAGACGUUUAGGCUCAACUGGGCUCAGGCUGGGGCUGGAGAGAAACGACACCAGACUGAAGGGCCUGACCAUACGAUUUUCGUAGGCGACUUGGCACCUGAGGUGACUGAUUACAUGCUCUCGGACACAUUCAAGAAUGUGUAUGGGUCUGUCAAGGGGGCUAAAGUUGUGGUUGACAGGACCACUGGAAGGUCCAAGGGUUAUGGGUUUGUCAGGUUUGCGGACGAAAAUGAGCAGAUGCGUGCCAUGACCGAAAUGAAUGGUCAAUACUGCUCGACCAGGCCUAUGCGUAUUGGUCCAGCUGCCAAUAAGAAUGCUCUUCCGAUGCAACCAGGUAUGUUUUAUAUGUAGGAAUGGUGUGCAUUGAGUAUGUUGAAUGGUGUAUGAAGUUUGUUUGUGUUUGUUUAACCUUCGAUGUUGAGCAUUAUAAUUGAGUGUCUUUUUUGCUUGCUGUAUUUCUUUCUGAUCAGUGAUGUUUCUUCUUUCAAUUAGUUCUCAAAGAUUAAGAGUUCUUAUCUGCUCCUUUUCCUUUCGGUUUUGGACUUUCUGCACAAUGAAUUUUGAUAUAGUAAAGCAUCCAAAAACUUAUAAAAAUCAGCUCAUGUUGUCUUAAAGCAGGAGAACAAGUGGCUCUCUUUGGGGGAGCCUGGAACUGAUUUCAGCUGAAAAUGAUACCACUUUAAUGCGUGGCCUCAUUUAGGUCAGUUGGUUAUGUUAUCAGAAGAAGUUACAUAUAAGUGGCUGUUAUUAGCCUACAGUUUCAAAUUACUUUCAAGUUCCUUACUUAUCACUUAGACGUAUUUUAUUUUUGAGCCUUUUAACUUCAAAUUCAUUCUUUUUAUAUUCCGUAGCUCAUUUUCCCAGUAUUUUAUUUUGACCUCUACCUUAAAGUUAAAUACUUCUCUAAGCAAACUGUUGCACGUAUAUUUCCGUCUUUUCAUAAUAGUUUUCCUCUCUAGAUUUAUACUAUUAAACUUUGGCCAAAUCAGUGUCCUACAAGUUGAUUACUAGGAACUUCUAAUAUUGAAGAAAUUUGGAUGUAGGGUGAAGAGUUUCCUUUCAUUAUUCUAUGCCUGAGUGUUACGUUCCACAUGCACUUACUGUUUGAUAUCUACGCUCAACGAUUUGUUAUCAAUAAUCAACUGAAUUCAGAUUUUUGCACUGUAUGUUAUUUUGUUUCUUUGCUGGUAUGGUAUCUUCUUAGGUGUUGAUGUGAAUGAUUUUUGCAAAACUUGUUUGAGUGAACGUCUGUUGUUCUGCAAUUUAGUUUUAGUUUCUCACCAUGUCGAGUGGGUUUUAUGCAGUAUUGAUAGAACUUUCCAUCUCUCUUAAGUUCACCCAUCUGUUAUUUGCAGCUAUGUAUCAAAACACUCAAGGAGGAAAUGCUGGCGAUAGCGAUCCAAAUAACACAACAGUACGUAGUUAGUUUUCUUUUGUUUUUCCCCAAAACCUUUAGUCUGAUGUUUUUGAUAGACUGCAAGUGUAAUGCGUUCUACUUUCAGAUUUUUGUUGGAGGUCUGGAUGCUAAUGUUACAGACGAUGAAUUAAAGUCAAUUUUUGGUCAAUUUGGGGAACUUCUUCAUGUUAAAAUUCCGCCAGGAAAACGUUGUGGAUUCGUUCAAUAUGCCAACAGGUAUAAAACAUCAUAUCAACCAUCCACUGUGAAUAGAAAAACCCGAAGCAUUCUUUUCUUGCUUACUUCAUUAUUCUCUUUGUUGUGCUUCAGGGCGACUGCAGAGCAUGCACUUUCGGUACUGAAUGGAACACAAUUAGGUGGACAAAGCAUCCGUCUUUCGUGGGGACGUAGUCCAAACAAGCAGGUUAGUUUGUUACCUGUUUUUACCUUUCUUCCACAGUUUGUCAAAUCUAUACCUUUAAAACUUGAGAGUGAUAUUAUGAGCAGAAUGAUUACCUAAACUUCAUGUUCACAGCCUGAUCAAGCGCAAUGGAACGGUGGUGGAUACUAUGGAUACCCUCCACAGCCACAGGGCGGCUAUGAACCAUAUGGUUAUGCAGCUCAACCUAAUCAGGAUCCUAAUGCGUACUAUGGCGGUUACACUGGCUAUGGCAACUAUCAGCAGCAACGUCAGGUAACUCAAUUACACUGACAAACAACAAUAUUUUUCUUAAGAUUUACAACAUGUGAAUAUGUUCUUACCUAUCUUGUUUUUCCAAUGCAGUGAAACAUCAACAUCAGCUUUUUCUACCAAUGUCUUGGAACAAAAGAUGUGUCAUUAAGUCUUUUUAGGACUUUUAGAUUUUAAGAGUGCUCUCUUUUUACUAGAUGUGAGUUUUAUUUUGCAAAUGAGUAUCUUGGAUUUGCUAUGAACAAAUUGUUGGAUGAAUGUUGAAACUUUAUUCUGUUGUUUUUUUUAUAAAAAUAAUUAUCCAAAAUUAAUCGGAUUUAUGUCAAAAUUAAUAGUAUAUAGUCUGAUAGAAAAUCUAACAUAAAAGCUUAUAUGAUUACUGCCAGAAGUGUAUUUGGUAAUUUACGAAAUAAAAAGUAAAGUUCUUCGCUUAAUAAACAAAAAAAGCUAAAAUGUAAAUCCUUUUCCUCACUCUCAAAUUUUUCAGAGGAGGAAAGCUUCUUUCGCUUUUAUUUCAGAUCAAUCGGAUCUGAAAUUGUUUGUUUUUGGUUCCAAUCAAUUGCUAGAUUUUCAAUUCUGGCGUUGAUUCGGUUUGGGUGUCCCUCUUUUGGGCUUCGCUUCCCCUGUUGGGGCUUUGGUUUUCUUCUCACGGACCGGUGGCUCUUUUAGCACCGUUGCCGUCUAUGUUUGCUCGGUCGUCUCAUCUCCGGCCACGCCUCUGUCAGAAACAAACUCAAGCUUGGAAUGGAUCCGACGAAAAACGAAGACAGCUUCGUAUGGUGUUUCGGAUUCGUACCGGUUUGGUGACAACAAGCCUAUGUUUGGUGAACUUAAUUUUUUGAAGAUAAAAAGCUUUUUGUAGAAGAUGAAGAUGAAGAUGAAUAAGAUUUGCAUUAAGUGGAGUCAAAUUCUCAUCAAAGCUUAAAUGGAGAUUUCGCCUUAAUUUGUUUGGGUGAAGAAUGAGAUCUAUCGCAAGUUUUGCGUAAGUUUUCCGGCGAUUCCGGUCGGGAUUGAAGUUUCCUGGCGUUACAACAUUCUGCCGUGAUCCUCGACUCCCAUCUCUUCGACUUCCCACGUGUCAUCCAACCUGUUUCGCAUGUGCCACGUGUUCUCUGUGCUAGACACUAGACACCACUUUUUCUUCAAUUAAAGGUUUACUUAUCUGGGCUUUUAGGCUUUUCUUUUGUUUUAGUUUAUUUUAGUGUGUUUGUAAAAUAUUGGCUUGUAUCACUUGGCUUGUAUCACUUGGCUUUUGUAUUAUAAAUAAAAUACACUUGUGACAAAAAAAAAAAAAAAUCCUUUUCCUCACAAGUAGACGGUAAACAAACGUGCAAAAUUCCAAAGGUGGAAACGAAUCACAAAAUUUUCCACAGAAUUGAUAUAAACUACACAAAUUCUCGGUGCACAAAGGAAUAAACUUUAAAAUGUCUAUUGAGAUCUUAUCAUUGCGUUAUAAAUUUGAGAGCCAUUUCUUCAAGCUGAGCUACGGAAAGAGAAUCUGUGUUGAUUUUUCCUUCAUUUUCUUCAUUGUCAGAGACGAUCUUCUUUGCUCUUUUGCGGUUUCUUCCUGUUUCUUCUUCUGAUGAUCCAGAACCAUCAUGGCCUUCUUCUUCUUCUUCUUCUUCUUCUUCAUCCUCCAUGGCUCCUCUCUUCCUCUUAAUCUUCUGUUUCAUUCUCUUUUCUCUCCUCUUUUCCCUCUCUACUUUCUUGUCCUCAGCAUCAGCUUUCCUCAUUUCCGCUCCCACUUUCUUAUAGAAAUCCUUCCUUUUCUCUGCAAAAUUCAACAACCAAUUUACACAUGCUUUGUAAAAACUGAUUCAUUGCUAGUUUGUGUGAACAGAAUAAUAGGGAUUUUGAUGUAACUUGAAGUUCAUGUUCCUCUACCUUCAUCAAGGGCUACUUCAGUCCCUGCUGUAGCAGCUACACUUGCUAAGGGAGCCAAGGAAUUGCCUUCCUCAUCAAGCACAACCCUCGACCCAAAUGGUCUGUGUAGAUUGAUCUUCAGCUUCUUGUUUUUCAAAACCCGAGUUCCUUGCCUGAAAAUUCAAAGGAAUUUUAUAAACAUAUAUAAGCAUGAAUAGACUGGAUCGAAUGAAUGAAAAAAUAGUUAAUGGAAUGUGAAAACCAUACAUGGGAACUUCUUCUUCCUUGGUUGAUUUUUCUACUUCUUUGCCCUCUCCACGUGGCUUGAGAGCAAAAUCUUCUUCCUCUAAAUCUUCACCAAGAAGAUCUUUUUUUACAACCAGAGGUGCUUCAUAUUCCUGUGCAUUCUCAGGCUCCAUAGCGAUAGAACUCUCAAAGACCCCUUUUUUCUUCGUUUUAAGGUUUGUAAAUCGGAUUCUGGGAGUCAUUGGCAGACCAAGUGAAGCAGAAAAGUUUUCAAUCGACAGCUUUGACACAUCAAAAAUCUCUUUAUCUCUUCUUUUGUGGAUGGACCUCAAAUAUGUGAUGAAGGCUCUCUGAGCAACACCUUGAAGAUCUGGAUACUUGACUAACAAAGCAGCCAAAAGCCUAGAAACCUCCUGCAACUUUUGGUUGUUUGCCUGUGUGAACAAUUUUUUUUUUAAGUCAAAUGUUUUCAACCAUAGUCGAGACUAAAAGAAAAUUGAGAACGGGAUCUACUACCUUGAUGAGUUUUACAGGCACUUUAGCUUCUUGUAAUUUCUCAAUCAUUUUUUCCUCCGAAGGUGUCAGAAAGAGGAGCGACUUCCCUUGAGUAUAGAAACGAGCUGUACGCCCAACUCGGUGAAUAUAAGAAGCUACAUCUUCAGGACAAUCCACCUAUAAAAUAAAUACGAUGACAUCACACUUCAACCCUACAAGAUCAAAGAGUAUUGUAAUUCUGAAUGUGGAUUCAUACCUGAACAACCCAGUCCACAGCCUUAUCAAAAUCAAGACCUCUGGCAAGAACAUCGGUACAGAACAGAACUGAUUGUCUCUCAAUGAACUGAGAGUAUACUCCCAUCCUUUUCUCCUGACUCAUUUUUCCAUGAAGGCUCUUCAAAGGUAUUCCAGGCCGGAGCUUGUUGAAUGCUUCAUGAACAAAUUUGACCUGCCCAAAAUAGUGAUCCGUUUAUCAAUCUCAAGAUAGAAAAAAGUAGCAGAAUAAAAGUGGAACAAACUAUCUCCAUGUUGAUUAUUCAAAGAGGAAGAGAGGUAAAAUAAUCUAACCUGUUUCUUGGUGGAGAGAAAAACAAGAAUCCUGGAAUUAAGGUGAGUUUUGAUGAAGCUCCAUAACAUGUCUAAUUUCUUUUCAACUGGGACAAUCAUCACAGUCUGCAUCAAGGAAGCUGGAGUAGCUGUAGGCGCCUCUUCAUGUACACUAAUGUACUCAGGAUCUCUCAAACUGAGUCUUGCUAAAUCCUUGACUUUCUUAGUUUGGGUUGCAGAGAAAAGCAAAGUUUGUCUGUGCUUAGGCAACUGUGAGAUUAUAGGAUCCAACUGCCCCUUGAAUGCAGAAUCAAGGACACGGUCGGCCUCAUCUAAAAUCAGAAUCUGCAACAAAAGAGAACACAUAUUAUGCAUCUCAAAUCAAUAAGACUAAAGAAAUUCGGCACACAGAAACAUAGACGGAGACAGGGGAUACCCAUGGUACAUUCUAAUGUUCAUAAACGUGUAGGAGAAAAAGGUAACUGCUACCUACUAACCUAUUUUUUUCCUUAAUAUCCGCACAAUGAUUAUAGAUAGAGUUAAAACACAAAAUGCCCAAAUAUUCUGUUUGGGGUAGUGAAAACAUGAUCAAUACCUGAAGAUGUGAACAUUCGAAGUUUGGAGUCUCAUCCAUAUGCUGCAGAAGCCUACCAGGAGCACAUACCAAAAUAUUCAUCUCAUUAACUCGCUCCUUCUCAACAUCAACUCCUUCACGACCACCAAUUAAGAGCCCCGCACUGAACUUAUGAAACUUUCCUACUUUAUUCAAAACGCUGAAAGUUUGAGCUGCCAAUUCCCUUGUUGGAGAUAUAAUUAUGCAUCCCACUCCAUCUUCAGGACUCCAUCUCUCCCUAUGUAACUUCUCCAGAAUCUAAAAACACACAACAAUCCAUUAACAUCUAUCAAAAACCAAACAUGAUCAAGAGAAAAAGCUACACAGAGCAAUAAACUCUAUCGACUUUACCGGAAUAACAAAAGCUAGAGUUUUGCCAGAGCCAGUUCUAGCAGCACCGAGAAUAUCUCUUCCACAUAAAGCAUGAGGAAUAGCAGCGCUCUGAACAUCAGUCAUGUCAACGUAUUUCGCAUCUUUCAAUCCUCUUUUGGUUUUAUCCGAUAUCGGUAACUGAGCAAACUUCCUUACACCUGCGUACCGCGAGAAAACGGUGCCGUUUUUGCCGUCUUCGAACUUUCCGAUCUUCGAAUCUUUAGGAAGAGGACGUAAUGAAAGUGGAUUGGAUCCUGAAUCCGGUUUUUGUGAUUCGAUCCACUGGUUCAGAAGAUUUAUUUCUUCGACUUCGUUGAGACGAAUCUGCUUCCGCAUUCCCUUGGUCUUCUUAAGUUUUACCAUCUUGACACGAACACGAAAUUAGAGCUCCGGAGAUAGAAAAGCUUACGACUUGAGAUGCUAGAAUUGGCAGGAGAGAAUAUAUAAAUUAGGGUUUUAAGAAUUGGUAGAUUCACAAGAAGAAGACGAUGAAGCAGCCAAUUGAAGGGUUUAACGAUGACGAUGUUUUUUCUUUAUUACCACAAAAACAAAAAACAAAAAAAACUAAUCUAGGCCCAAUAAGAUUGAUAUCGGCCCAAUAAAUAGGCCUUUUUCUUUUCCUUCAUCUCUCAAAAAUCUCUUCCCAAAGGAAUUCCUUACCAAACAAAACU
Molecule: long non-coding RNA, 87032 nt
Filed under: Arabidopsis lyrata
Lineage: Eukaryota; Viridiplantae; Streptophyta; Magnoliopsida; Brassicales; Brassicaceae
Description: long non-coding RNA (ALYR_LNC000641)
Source: RNAcentral